UUUUUUUUUUUUUCUUCGUGCUUAAAUCGAGAUAAAAUCUGAUAUUACAGAAGGGUCGCUCCGAAAUUCCUAGCGCGCUCGAGGGGGCAUUUUGGAAAUCAACCUACGCCCUACGUACCGGGCCUCAAAGUCGAAGCCCCACAACUAAGGCCCAAGGCCCAAGGCCCAGAGCAAAAAAAAGGGCAGGCGCAAGGAAUCCCUAUCUGCAGAUGCCCGCAGGCUAACAUAGCCCUCGUCGAAAUCGUGGCGGGAACGCUUUAGGCCUUAGUCCCGCCAACAAAGAAAACCUCGCGCCCUUUGCAAAUUAAUUUUUUAAAAGAACUUUUUUAAAAAAAUGUCAAUAAAUCUCGGUUCCGUCGGUUCGGGGCCGCGGAACCGGAACCGAAGAACCGGAAAAGAGAGAGAGAGAGAGAAACUCCCUCUCAAAUUUUCCCUCACUUUCUCGUCACUUUCCCGCCGAAACCCUAGCGCCGUCCGUCGCCGCACCGGGAACGAUGCUGGAGCUCCGGCUAGUGCAGGGCUCGCUCCUGAAGAAGGUCAUGGAGUCGCUCAAGGACCUCGUGAACGACGCCAACUUCGACUGCUCCGCCACGGGGUUCUCCCUCCAGGCCAUGGACUCGAGCCACGUGGCCCUGGUGGCCCUGCUCCUCCGGUCGGAGGGGUUCGAGCACUACCGGUGCGACCGCAACAUCUCCAUGGGGAUGAACCUCAACAACAUGUCGAAGAUGCUCAAGUGCGCCGGGAACGACGACAUCAUCACCAUCAAGGCCGACGACGGGAGCGACACGGUCACCUUCAUGUUCGAGAGCCCGAGUACGUUCCGCCUCUCUCUGUUUUCGGUUUUCGUUUAGGGAAGUGGAUGGAUGGGGGCGAUUUUGGUGCUGUGUUUUAGUUUCGACGACGAUGCUUCCGCGUGAUGCCUGGAAUCUGUUUGUUUCUUUUGCUGAGUGAGAUCUGGAUCUGUUGCUUUGGCUUGUUUCGUCGGUUGAUUCUGGUUUUCGAUACGUUCUUGUGCUGAUCGUUCGUGACUAUGGCGUGGUUAAGUAGGGUCAGCGCGAAGUAUACGUUGUUCGCUGGGAUUUCUAACGGAAAACGGCGAUGUCAGCGAAUUGUUGAAUCGUUUGAGCUUUGUGUUGGCUUGAUGCGGCAAGGUUAUGUAUCUGAUCUGAUACUGGUCCUUGUAGCAGUCUCAGCUUAGUAUGUAGUCAAAGAAGUAGUUGACAGUGGAUAAGCGAUAGAAGCCCGUCCGGUGUCCACUCCCUUAUGAGAUAAUUUCAUCACUGUCCUUAUGUAUUCCACUUCAUUCCUAAGGAGGUAUAAAAGAGAAGAAAGACAAAAUACCUUGACCAAGAUGUCCUCCUUUUCAUGCCUUCUGUAGAUCAUCGGGAAAUGAAAAGGAGGUAUGAUCCUUGGAUAUUCUGUAAUAGCCCUUUCAAUAAAUUAGUUGAAACUGCUGCCUGCAAACCUCUAUUUAUCAGCGGAUAAAUUCUAUAUGCGUAUUGUUUGUAUUUGCUUGUGCUAGUUAUCAGAGGGUCCUAAUGGGGUGAGGGAGGAGUCUAUAUGCCCAGUCAAUUUAGUUUGUUCAUCUCUUUUGUUAUUCUCUUGGAUCUCGUGUUCACAAUUUAGUGCAUGUUACAGCGCAGGAUAAAAUUGCUGAUUUCGAGAUGAAAUUGAUGGACAUUGACAGUGAGCACCUUGGAAUACCGGAGGCAGAGUACCAUGCAAUUGUUAGAAUGCCAUCAUCUGAAUUUGCUAGGAUUUGUAAAGAUCUCAGCAGCAUUGGUGAUACUGGUAUUUUUUUCCAUUCUCUACUCAAUGGCUUCUGAAACUGAGUUAUCUGAAAUUUUUCGGCAUGUUUAUAAGAUUGGAAAUUUUUCUUGAUUCAUUCCUGCAGUUGUUAUAUCCGUGACAAAGGAGGGUGUGAAAUUCUCUACUAGAGGUGAUAUAGGAACUGCAAAUAUUGUUUGCAGGCAAAAUACAACUGUCGACAAGGUGUGUCCUGUUUUCUAAUGGUCCAUUACAUUAUUCAUAUAAUGAUUCUGGGAAACAUUUGCAUGCCUUUAACAAUUUGAGGCCGCUCUUUCUCAAGAAUACGCUGGUUCUGAUUUAGUCUAUUUGUUAAUUGUUUUGGGUGAACCAUUGCAGCCAGAGGAAGCUACAGUUAUUGAAAUGAAUGAGCCAGUGACUUUGACUUUUGCACUGAGGUACCUGAACUCCUUCACGAAGGCAACCCCUUUAUCCAACACUGUGACUAUCAGUUUGUCUUCAGAUCUUCCUGUUGUUGUUGAGUACAAGAUUGCCGAGAUGGGUUAUAUCAGGUUUUACCUGGCUCCUAAGAUAGAAGAGGAUGAGGACGAGACAAAGCCAUAAGUUGCUGGGGUCCUGAAUUAGUUAAACCUGUUUGCAGACUGCAGUAAUUCAUGUUCCUGUCUCAGGAAAUUUUUUCUACUCUAUACAGGUUCUUACCCAGGUUGGAAAAUGUUUGUAGCUUUGAAUCACUGUUGUCUUCCCCAGUGUAUGGUUUACUCGUGCUACUGACUUCAGGGUACCCUAAUGGAUUUUAGGUCUUUCUUCCAACUUGUGGCAUGAAGUUUCAAUUACUUGCAACUUUUGCAAUCUUUGUGGCUUUUUUUUUUUUUUAAAGAGAAUCAUGGGUACAAUAGAACCGUCCAAUUUUGGGAAAUGUUGAAGAUGGUGCUUUCAUCACAUCAUCUGUGCUACUGAGAGGAAGUUCAUGAAGUUGUAGUCCUGGUUUCGUGACUUGAGGUUGUGGAUAAAAUCAAUGUGUGGAAAUUGUGUUGCAGUUGGGUUUUUUGGUGGGAUCAAAUGAUGAUUAAUCGACUUAACACAAGUCUGGUAGCAUUACAGAGUUUAUGCAAUGAUGCUUUGAUAUUCCAUAUGCAUCAGUAUUCUCAUAGAGAAAUUUCGGGGGUCAUCUUCACCAUCAACUAUCUAAUGAAUGGAGCUUUACACGGUAUGCGGAUGGAGCAAUGUCUGUAGGAUUGUCAUUUAUUCCACUUUUAUUUUUAUCAAGGGAGUCAUGCGAUCACAAAGUUAGUGUUAGUUUACAGAGCGAUUUGAUCAGUACCAAAUGGAUAUCAAACAAUUAGGGCAUGUUCAUCAUUCUAUAAAUUAAUUUGUGUACAUCGAGUAAUAUUCCUGUCAUUGAAUACGUUCUCGAAUAAUUGAUUGCUAUGUAUGCAGCACAACUAGGGUCAUAAAACUGUUGAAGUUGUUCUGGGCAUAAUUUAGUCUCCCCUAGACCGUUUCAUUAAGUUGAUGAAACCGUGGAGUCAAGGGAAGGGCUAGGCAUUUUCCGUUGCCGUCCUGGGAAUUGAUCUUGGUUGACCUCCAACUACCCUUGAUACUGGAUCAGAUGCCAGUGGAACUCGUCUUGUUUCUGAACCAGCUAUAUCUGGAAAACAAAAGUGAUAGGAACUAAAAUUUGAGUAAUACAAGGAAAAUGCAGUAGUUUUUAUGAGGAUGAGAGGAGAGACGCUGAAACGCACCCCUUUUUCGCCUAGCGACCGCUUAAGAGCAAAUCUGGAAUUUUGUUAUCGUGUUUAACUUUGGAUCCUGACUAUUUUCACGUAGAGCUCCCUACACUUUAGGGCUACCUGAAUGGAUCCAUACGCUCGGAAUUUGCUUCAAUCAACUCCUUACGGUUUUUAUUCUUGUCUUGAGUGAGACGAGGUUUCUUGUAAUCAAAAGACAAUACAAUACUAAGUGCUCGUUCAUAAUAGUAUUUUGUAGUUCCUCUUACGCCCAUGACAUCGUACCCAUGUGAACAGCAAAACCAAGACAAUACGGACAGCUUAAGCUAUGUCCGUGAUAUCCAAUUACCACGUUCCAUGAAAGUUUUAGGACCAGUAGUUUACCGUAAACGGGGCUAUUUGCAGGCUCUUUGUGCCCAAGCCAACAGAAUAGAACCAACAUACAAAUGGCAGGACAGUUCGAUCCUGUAUAUGAGGAUUGCAAAUGUCCGCACCUUACAUUUAGUACCCGCACCAUUGUUCACUGUGGCAAUUGCUUCAAGGUAUUACAUAUGAUUACCUCUUCAAAGAGUGACAUCUCUUACAACGUACCCUAAAGUCAUCGUUUACAGUUUCAUGGCCGGUUGGCAAGAGAGAUUGUAGAACCAAUAUAAUCAUCUUUGCCUGGAAUUUGCAGCACCUUCCAGGGGCAACGCCAAUACUUUUACACCCAACAAAGAGUACGAUAGGAUAUGGAAUGCCUUACAAAGUAAACCUUGAGUAAUACAGCCGUUACAUGUCCUCGGUAUGUCAGUGCAAUAACCAAGACACGGGAGCCGAUUGAUUGAAAGAAUGAUGGCAAUAGCCUUUUUUAAACAAGCUCAACCCAUGUUCCUUCCAUUAUGCCCGAAUUCUGCCUACUCAAUUACAUCUAUUUCCUUCAUCUGAAAACAAUGAUCUCUAAUGAUCAAACGAAAAGCAUCACAAAGAAUAAUACACAUCUCUCACAAGGCAUACUCAAUCAAAAAAAGGUUGGUCUUCCAAUAAUAACGAUUUUUCUGAAGGGGUUGAACCAAAUAAGGGAAAAGAGUAUCCAGUCCCGCUCAGUACCUGACCGUAAUUAGAUGGUCUUAACUCCCCAUAAGAAACAUCAACUGCUAUGACAGCUUCCAAUCUUCACCGACAUAACCAGCUUGAUCACCAAGCUCUUCCUCAAUGCGAAGCAACUGCAAGAAACAUUUCCAAGUUUAGUCAUACAUAGCUUUCCUUCUCAUGCAGUCUGACAGAAAUUUCACACAAUGGUUAAACCUUUUUACAUUUUGUAGUCUUUGGGACCCUUUUGAUGUUAAAUUGUCAGGAAUGCUCUCUAAAGACCGAUACUUAUCUAGAGGCUGAAUCAACAGCUAAGAUCUUUGGAAUCUAGGGGCCGGCAAUUCGUGUUCACAUGUCAAAUUCAGGUCAUAAAUUAGUGUCUAGUCAUGUCAUAGAAAAUCAUAUUUUUGCCAAACAAAAUAAAAAUUGUUGAAUUUUGAACGUCACUUUCAAAUUUUCCAAUAUCAGCUUUCAUAAAAGUGUUAAAUUGAGUAAAAUCUUGUCAAAAUUGCCAAUACCCAUAUGACCGCAUUCAACUCUAAUUUACAUUCAUUAUCCAAACAAGGUAAUUAUCGUUGGCUGCAAAUACUUUAAUGGUGCUUAUAUUGGAAUUAUCAAGAAAUGAGAAAGGAUCUCAACUUCUAAAAUGCCCUGCAAAAUCCUUAAUAGAAUCUAUUCAACUAGGAUAUGAACUGCAAUAAGAGGAGUUCAAAGAUGUUCUCAGGAGCUCCCUCUUAACAGUUCAAGAGAGCCUAUCUUUUAUAGUUUUAAUAACACAAUGUGAGGCUACAUGUUUAAAGACUUUGCUUCACAAAUCCCGCUACCUCCUUCCCAGGUGUAAAUGUUUAAGAAUUGAUGGUUGGGAAGGUUGUUAAAAUCAAGAGCUGACUUAGGAUGGAUGGGACAUCUGAGUGAUCACAUCAUAAGACCAUAUCGAGAUCAUAAGAUACUCAAAAUUAUGAAAGAAUAUGUAAGACAUAAAUAACUAGUUGAUAUAGACUAUAAUAUUUCUUAAGAUCACAACUUCAUAGAAGUAUCAUUUUGGAGGCAUAUAUCUUUACAAAAAACAGUGGUGUACAUGAAGCUUAUUGUCAUUUUCUACAAAUGCGAAGUUCAGAAUAUAUUCACAUAAAAUUUGAAUUGGUACUAUUGAUAGGAUCGUGUCAGACUUAUGAUGCUAUUAAUUAGGGUUGGAGACCUAUUAAGAUCCUCCUUGAAAUUUGGACCAUUCUUAAGGUUUCAUACGGUCAUAGUUGAUUCAGAUCAGGAUAUUAUCAAUCAUGACAGUUAAGAUUAUAUUUGUCAAUAUGAAGGCAGACCUGGUUGUACUUUGCCAGUCGUUCUCCUCGACAAGGAGCACCUGCCUUGAUGUGACCAGUACCUAGUCCCACAGAUAGGUCGGCUAUGAAAGUAUCUUCAGUUUCACCACAUCUAUGUGAUGUUACAAUUCCCCAAUGAGCAUCCUUUGCUAGCUUGACCACCUCAAUGGCCUCCGUCACCGUUCCAAUCUGGUUUACCUAUUGGGCAUUUCGUACAUGUGGUAAGUCUUACCCAAAAAAUUCAUACAGAAGAAAAAAUUGGGGUACUUGUGAUGGGGACAUUUGCUAUCACUGAACAAUAGCUUCUUCGCUUUACAAGCAGGCCCUAUUACCUUUUUUUCUGCUCUCUCUUUAAGGUAAACUGUGAUAUAUAAAGGUUUCAUGCGAAUCUCAAUGCCAAAUAAGGCAGUUAACUAAAGCGAGAGUCUGAUACCUUGAGAAGAAAAGCAUUACAAGCGGACUCGUUGAUUGCUCUCUCAACACGUUUGGGAUUUGACAUUAGCAAGUCAUCCCCAACAACCUGAGAAAUAAGUGUGAGAUAUCAUUCAUUUUACAAUCACCACAAAAAGAACUGAGGAAUAGAAACUUCAAAUUAGAUUGACUAAUGCAAUGAAGAGUUCUACCAUGGUUAUCGCUAGAUCAAAAAGCUCUGCUAAGAAAAAAUGCAAUCAGAGAGCACUCCAUGGUUAAUCAUCACUUACAAAGGAUCUAACUUAACCAAUCUGGUAGCUGCUCUUUUGCUGUCUUUGCUCUAGGUAUUCAGGAAUUGGUUUGAGAAGGGCAAGAGAACAGUAGCAUCUAAAGUGUACUAUGCAUUACAGCGACAAAAAGGAAAAAGCAUAAGACUGCAGAAUUUUUCUUCCAUGGCAAAAAUCGGUCAUGGAUAGACUACCCAUAGGAUGAAGAGAUGAAAACAGAGGUGUACCUGGCAAACUCCAAGGCUGGAGAAAUACUUGACAUGCUCCCAGUCCUCCUUGUCAAAUGGAUCUUCGAUUGAUACAAUCGGAUAGUCUAAGAUUGGGAGAAAAAAAAAAAAAGAGAGCGGAACUCAUCAUGUUUUAUGCAUGUCAGAGGCUCAUGAAAUCAAAUAGGUAAAUUUGAACUAGACUACGUACCAGAACAGAGCUCCUUAUACAUAUCUAUCAUAUCCUCCCCAGAUUUGAAAUUCUGCCCUGACUUAUUUGGAAACUUGAAGUCCAGAUCAUAUUUUGUGCCUGUAUAAAGUAAGUAGAGAUAUCAGUUUUGUAACAGGAAAUUCCUACAGAGCAUAAGCUGCGUAACAAACAAAAGAGACAUAGUCAAAUUUUUCCUAGCUUUCUUGGACAUGACACGUUUUAUAUAUCCCAUUAUAUGAUAACAGAGUACUCCAAUUAAAUGCGCUGACACAGAUUCCAUGGGAACCAUCAUUAAGACAUCAUGCAAGAAUUCUAAACACAGCUCCAAAAAAUCACACAGCACAUUGCCUUUCGAAAUUUGAUGCCACACUUCGACAAAAGUAAUUCAAAACAUUGAAAUUGUUACCUAUGCAAAAAUUAGUAGCAGCGACAUCAAUAGCUAUCUUUAUUCUCUCGUUAUAGCCCGUUCUGCUGAUAGCCUCUUUAACCAGAUCCAGGGCUUCUCUAAGGCUGUCAAGUACCAUAAGAUGUCAAUCAGUAAAUCAAAAUGAAAUUUUUUAUCUAUUCUUUUUUGGGUUGAUGUUGGUUGGAUGGAACCCCUACCUAUUGAAUAUGCUGCUGUAUCAUUGUUUAAAUCGUUCUUCAAAUAAGAAAUGAGCAACAACUAGACAAAGCUUGAACAAUAUUGAUCCUCUAUCAUUCAUGUAGUUUUGCUUGUCUAUUUUGCAUGUAAAAUGUGUGACAAAGAUAAGUAUGCAACCUGGACACAUUCGGAGCAAAGCCACCAUCUUCACCCACAUUGCAUCCCUGUGCACCAUGUUUCUCCAUAAUAACAGCCUGCCUUUUUGUUAACAAAACAUUAACAUCAGUGACAGUCUAUACAUACACAUGGAGAUUAGUAUAAAAUAGUCUUUCCCGUGGAUCAAGAAGGCUAACUAGACACAAGAUAGUAAGACAGGAUGGACAUACAGAAUAAACCACAGUAGAAUAGCUAAUGAUCAAUUUUUGAGAAUGAUAGAAGGAAGUGUUUAGAACAUCAUCAGAUAAAGUUCAGAAAUGGUAUAAUCUUUAUGUGCUUAGAUGGAAAAAAAAAAAAAAAAUUAAUGAGUCAUAGACGUUGUUUAAGUACAAUGCAGAAACUGAAUGAUUAAAUUCAAAGUACACCUUUAAGUGAUGAUAGGUUUCAGAACCCAUUUGUAAAGCCUCCUCAAAUGUGGAGGCUCCAAUUGGUAGAAUCAUGAUUUCCUGUCAACAUUUACAGUCAACAAUGAGUAAAUUCAACAGAUUAUUCAUAGGUACAUAAAAAGCUAAACAAUCCACGGGCACACAAACAAGCUGAUAUACAUUAUAGCCACAGAAACACAGACAUGCCAAGGAGAAAGAGCAUACCUGAAUGGCAAGGUUGUUUCCAGCGUGUUUCCCACCACUUAUAACAGUGAAGGAAGGUACUGGAAGAGUCAGGUCGGGCUUACAAGCAAGAUCAGCAAUGUGCUUAUAAAGGGGAACCUGAACAGAAGGGAAGUAGAAUGAAGAUUUUUAUGCCGAUAGAAAUGGAUAAAAACCUUCUUAAAUUCCAUAUGAAAAUACACAUGCCUCCUUUUCAGCAGCACCAGCUUUGCAAGCAGCAAUUGACACAGCCAAUAUUGCAUUAGCUCCCAGCUCACCCUACAAGAUGAUUUCUCUCAGACCAUGUUGUAUUCAAGGAUGUGAAGAGCAUCCCUAAUUUUUCACAUGAACCAUAAGGCAACAACUCCAAAGAACGAUUAUGGUCCACCAAGGGAAAAAUUAGGAUGGAUAGUCUUGUAUUAUAUAACUAAGACACUGUUUUGCUGUCUGUGACAGUAGAAAGGUUACUUACAAAUCAUACAUUUUUCAAAGUAUGCGCCCAAAUCACUUUCAAGAAGUAACAUAACCAGCUAGCAUUUAUGUUGGUCCAAACAGGUGCUGUCUUAGAACUCAUCAUACAAAUCAACUAUGCAUGACUAUUCAUAAUGGAAGAAUUGGACAAGUUCAAUGUCUUACUGACACACGACAAGGUUCUUAAAAGACAAUUUCUUACACACCAACGUGAAGGCUGGCGAACCAUGUACAAAACUGCAGCAUCAUAAAUUUCCUAGGCAAUGUGUUCACAAAAUGCGUUCUCCUUCAGGCAACUCCGGGCAAACAAUCAAUCCCUUCAUCAAAAAACAGGUACCUUCUUCUCCGUUUUGUCCAGGUCUAUCAUGGCCUGAUCAAUCUGAGACUGAAGAAUAGGAUCCAUCCCUAUCAGUGCUUCGGAGAUUUUCUCGUUGAUAUUCCUAACAGCUCUCUGUACGCUAUUUCCAAGAUACACUCCCUUGUCCCCGUCCCGCAAUUCCACAGCCUCGUACCUGCAGCCAUCGCCAGGCAAGCCAUCACGCCUCGCGGUCGAACCAACAGAUCGCGUCGGUACUUCGUAUGGACUAUACGAGUGAACUCAAACAAGCACCAGCAAUUCUACCGCUACUUCAAACUCACACGCACCAAUCCGCCAGUAUAUAACGCGAAACGAAGAAAACGAAGAAAGACAGAGAAACCUCACAUUCCGGUCUGGUCGCCGCUCGGAGCCGAGGCGCGGAACAUCCCUUUGUGGGUGUACAAGUCGACCUCGACAGUCGGAACGCCCCUGCUGUCCAGUAUCUGCCUGGCCUUGAUCUUCGUUAUGACCGACGGGACCGCCUUCCUCAUGUGAUUCGACUGCGAAACGAAAUCAUCCGGUUGAGCAACGACGGCAGCGCAUCAGCCGAGGGGCCACCUCUCGCGGCGGCGCGAGGCCGUUCGGCUAGCUCGAGCUCGAAGAACGCGCGGGAAAAGAUGUUCAAGGAAGGAGGAGGAGAAGGAGACGAUUGAGGAAGAGGUCUUACGAUGAAGAGGACGGGAUCGGGAGUCUUGGCCCUAACCGCGGCAUUGACGGCGUCUUCGAUUUUGCGCGAGAGCAUGUGCUUGUCCAGAUACUCCUGCACCGACAUCGUUCCUGAGCCUUCUCUCUCUUUCUCGCUCGCUCGCGGCGGAUCGAUGCUCUCCGGAAGCACGAUCGAGCAGGAGGUAGUCGACCUUCAGGAGCGACCACCUCUGUUUCGCAUUUCUUCCUCGCUUUGCUCAGGAAAUGGGUCGGGUCGGGUCGGGUCAGUCAAAGGCCCGAGAGAGUCCGGAAAAUUGGAUCCGUCUAGUAGGCCCAAACGAAGUGAUAUUAUUGUUCCCCAUCUCGAUAGGGAGAAUUUCUUUUCAGGAAGCUCCUCGUCGAGGUCACGAUCAACGUCGUCACUGAACUUUCUGUGGUUGGUCAUUGUAUACAUUAAUUGAAUAAGUGACGCUUCAAUGGUUCUUGUAUACAUUAAUUGAAUAAGCGAUGCUUCAAUAAUUCUUACUCCUUUCUUAUUUUUUGUAAUUCCUAUGAUGCAAUUAGAGCUCUCUGGAUCCAAUCACAGCCGUUUAGUAAGAACAAAAUAAAAAUUCCCGUAUUGUGACUUUCCCAGCGCUUCUGAUAGCACGACCCUGAUGUCGACAAGUUUCUCUGCCCUGCGGAAUGGAGCAACAGAAGUCUUGAGAAUUCGAGCGAAUGUCACAAUGAGCACGUAUUGUACAUAUUUUAAUCUUUCGCCUUCUUUUUGCUCAUUCUUGGUUAUUCUAAUUUUAUAGGAUGCCUAUGAAGAGACUCUGGCCAGUCGUAUCGUGAGUUCCUAAAGUGUCUUCUCAAGAUAUGUACAACAACUAAAGCACCUUACAUGAUUCAAUGUUUUGGAAAUUGGGUUUUGAGGAUAAGUGCCAUUAAUUCGUCUGUCUGGAAAGAAAGCUUUUCCUCCGUUUCGGUUCGCUAGCUUAAAAAGGCAUGUUUACAUGAUACUUUUCCCUCCGUUCUUGGGGGGACCUUGUGAGAAGGAAUGUGUUUUUUGUGCUGGCCCUUUUCUUUCUAUGUUUAACACUCGGGAUACUUCCCUUCACAGCACGCUGGAUACACAUUCAAUCGUCAGGCAUUGGUUCUAUGAUAGCUUCAUUUCUGUGCUGAAUGUUCUUUGGUGGAGAACUCGAUGCCAUCAAUUAAGAAAAUUGAUGUACAACCACCAUGCUAACAGGGAAGUAAAUCAGGCCGACACAGAGGCACAUGACUAAGCAUAUUCAUCUAUAGAAACCAGAUUAGUGCUCGAAGCCUCCGAUUAAGACAACUCGGAAGGCCCUCUGAGAUGCACGAGACAAGCUUCGCGCCACCAAUAAUAGUCCCAUUAAAACCAGAUGACAAGAUGCCUAAGCUAUACCUCGAUAAAGCAUAUUAAGUACAACAACAUGCCCACACUCGGUUGCACGUGUAUAUGUUCAUGUUCGUGGUUUUUCCUCUUUUUCCCCCUCUUUAAGAUACAACAAAAGCGCUAGAGGAUCCGGCAAAGUGGCGUAUUGAUCCUAUAAGACCCUUCGAGGCACCAAAAUGUCGAAUCCUAUACACACCUGGAGUAGCUGAUUCAGGUGUCCUCCAUUCUAUGGCGGCCAUGCUUCGAGUGCUCAGUUUUGAAGGUCUAGACCAUUUGAACCGAAGGCAGAAAUCGUCAUCAUCGUAAGCUGGAACCCAAGUAUCUUUUCCUUGGAGCGCCUCCACAAGGGCAAAUGUACCUUCGGUCAUCAGGUCAUUCCUUGGGCAAGCUGACCAGAAGACCACCGACACCGUGUCACCUCUCUUGAAAGUAGAGUUUGUGGGCACAUCAGUUUUGACAUCCCCAAAGUUCACUCCAGCUGGUGUUGCAUCCAUCACAACCGGUGUGAGUAAGCUUAUCUGUUUAGCUAGAAGAUCCGGGGGCUGCGGACCAGGUUGAACAGGUUGGCCGCUUAACAUUGCGCUUGCAAGUUUCUUGAACUCUUGGAUAUAUGCACUGAGAGUGUGGGGACCAUACAGUGUGGAUGCACCCUGAAAGCACCAUUAAGCACAUAUUUUGUAAGCUGAAACAUCUCAGUUACUUUGGUAGGCUGCUUUAAUAUUGCCAGUCACUCGUAUAAACUUAGGGAAACAACCUCCGGAUGUGGAAACCAUGCCUUUUUUGGUAGCCACCAUGCAAGGAAUUUCAUCCCUCCCAAAAAAAAUCUUUUAGUUCAGCAAUUCAGUCAGUCAAUGAGCAUACCUUUCGCAAACUCAAAUGAUCUUUCUUGUUAUAAAAUUUCCCUUCCCUGAACUUUGUUUAUUUUGCUAUAACAAAAUCAUGUCCGCAUGAUGUUCCAUUCUCUUCAAAGAAUGCAAGUAUAAUUUUCAUCGUGGAAUGGAAAUAAUACCUCAUAUCGCUGGACCUGAUACUCAUCAAAAGUAGUCACAUACUGAGAAUAGGUAUUGGUCAACCCUGCUAUAACAACAUGGACAUCGCCUUUGAAAUGUCCUUCACCUCCACUUGUAAGCACCGUCCUUACGGCUUCACGGAGACGCCUCCCAGCCAUAGUUGUGAACUCUACAAGAGAGUUGCCAUACACCGAAAUGAUUUGAUAAGAUACAAAAGAUACCAAGAUACCAUGCAUAUAAUGAUGCAAGCAAGCUGGUUCAGAUGAUAGCCAAUAGUGGCAGCCCAAAUUUUUUUCAGAUCUCACAGUUUUAAUACGCUACCUGAAAGGAAAAUAUUAAAUUUGACCUUUUACGCUUUUGAGUCUAAACACUUUUGACUAAGUUCAUGUCCAUCUUCCAUUUAAUUUGUAAGCUGAUAUAGAUUGAUUGAAAAUAGGUUUUGGUCACUCAAGAUGACUCUCGAAAGCAUUAGUUGGGUACUCCAACUAGAAGUGGUAAUUCAACAAAAAAAGAAAAAAAAGAAAAUUGACUCUUGACUGGGCAUGAGCUGGGUAACUUGUGCCGUAUUAUGACUGGCUUCCAUGAAGUUAAAAUUGAAUUAUAGACUUAUCUCCAACACUAAAAUGCAUUAAUUGGCUUAUUAUUUUGGUGAACACUAAAAAAAGACAUUUCUAAAAAAUAUUUCAUGAUGAUAGUGAAAUCAGUAAAGUACAGGAAAUAAAUCACUUCUAUUUCUACAAAAUUUGUCCAGAGUGGACAAGACUGAUAGAUCCAAAUUAACGUGUUUUUCAAGAAACUCUACCAAUACGUCCAGGAAUACUUGGGCUACAAUUUAAAUGCAUUUGACAAUCACUCAAUUACAAACGCAACCUUAAUUCGCGUCAAACUGUCAUACUUUCAUAGGAAUAGAGAAGGGAGAAGAAUACCUCCAGGUACGCUGAGAAUGACUAGCUGUCCUAUCCUGAACAUUUGAAUUGGAAGAAUUGAAGGCUGCAAAAACCAUAAAGGCAAUAAAAUCAUUAUUGCAGUGUGAAACAAUUGAAGCUAUCACUCAAGUUCUCCAUGCAUCUAUAUUCAUCUGAUAUAAAUGGAUGGGGCAGAAAUUUGAAAACCAAGAUAUCUUUCCAUUCAUAAAAAUGAUGUAUAGCUGAAAAUUCCCCAUCUCCUUGACAUUCUAACUAGAAAAGAAAGAGAGUCGAUUUUGUGUAAAAUGCCCAUCCAACAACGGCGCAAGUGUCAGAAACAACCAGCUAGGCAGUACCCACAUGUAGACAGCUUAACAGAUCUCACUUCACUUUUGCCAGAUCUCAUCUCAUUUGGGAUGGACUAGGUCCCUAACCAAUCUGACAAGGGCAAGGAGUGAUCAAUGAGGCAAAAAGAUUCGGACAAGCUGCAGUUACUGACAAGCUUCCAGGAAGGUGAAAGGUAUUUUAAAGAACAAAAUCAAAUGUUGUAGUAUUGCCAGGUGACGGGUAAGUGCCAAAAGUCUGUAAGACCCUGGAUCAUUAGAUGGAGAGAGAGCACACAAAAUAAUCCAUAAAGAAAAGCUCAUCUCUAAAUGAUCACCACAUGAGUACUAUCCAAAGGCUUCGUCCGUGGGGAAUGGGCUAGAUCAUUUCAGAUGGUAUUGGGGUCAGGUUUCAAUCCGUCAUGCAUAAAUUAAGUUUUUUUUUUUUUUGCAUGUGAUCUUUAAAAUUAUUUUGUAUGCGGCUCUUGUUUGUCCUAGGACCAUAUGGUUUCAAUCAGAUUUGCACACGAGAGGUGGUGUUAAUUUAUCCCACAUCGUCUGCUGAUGAGAUUUAUCUUGGGCUUAUAUGCAUGUACUCUUCUUCCACUAUUAAUUUAAUUUAUUUGUGGAAAAUUCUAACACUUGACAACCUAAGUUUUUGAGAAAAAUAAUUAUCUAACAUUAUAUCAAAACAUAAGUCACGAGGGCAAAUCCAAGCACUACCUCUUAUGUUUAUUUUUCCUGUAGAUUGUUUCUCAAUUAUUUCCUUAAUGUGGUAAUGUCUAAGAACACCAUUUUUUACGUAAGGUCCAGCUUGUAUGCUAGAGUCAAUAUUAAGGCUUUGUUAAACGUGCUAAAUGAGGAAAUGUUUACCUUCAAAGUAGUAUUUAUGCAUAUCACAAGGAAAAUCAAUGCAUUAAAAAUUGCAAAAUUGCCUUAUGUCGCUGCUUAACAAGGGCUCUGGAGGCACAUUUUAAAAAAUCAUGGUGCGAUAUGCAUCAUGUCUACGUACUGACAACUUCAGAUUCAUGACAAAUGGUUGCCUAAUAUUUCUGCUGAUAUAAGAAAGGUAUGAUUGAAAAGUUCAUGAUGCAUGGUAUACUGCAAGCAACCAAAAUUAGGAUGUAGCAACUUACUGCCCAAUCAUAUGGCUGCUUCAUUUCACCAGUAUCGAGCAAGAUGGGCUUUGGAUACUGACAAUCAACUUGUGUCUGGUUCGGAGUUUUAAGCAAGUUGCGGACCAGCUUCCAAAAAGGAUUUCCCUGACAUAGAUGAUAGAAUAGACAAUCAACUUGAAAGGAUAUACACUGUACAUGUGUAGGGAAUACCAGUUUAGGGGUUAGAGAAUUGCCAAUAGUCAUUACCUGGUCAUCCCCUUGCUUAAAAUCAAAAGCUCCAGGUCCAUCUGUUGUUCCGGCGGCAAAUGCAAAUCCCAUGGAAGCAGGACAUGUUUUUACCACUUCUGAACCUCCUCCCUGUUUAGGUAUUGUCACCUCAAGGUUGGAAAAAUCCAAAUAUACGUGACGGGAAUCAACCUUCCCCCGCAACUGUUCAGAUGCUUUGUUGAAAAGAUCCAAAGCUUUUUCAAAUUGCCUCUCCCCAAUUAUACGUGUGCUUUCAAAUUCAUCUGGGUAACUGCCACAUUAAGGAAAAGAUUCUUACAAUUAAUGUUCGAAUGGUUGCUGGUUUUUAUACUUUAUACCAGAUACAGGAAAUUGGUAUUAAUACCCUGGUCCACGGCCAUAACACAACUCGUUCUUCCCACCGCAGGUACUGUGAUUAAAGUCACAAGGUAGGCCAGUGUCUAUGCAGAAUGCUCCAAGCACAUUCGGGCUAACAUCACCACAGUUUGUUUGACAAAAAGCAGCUACAAAUCCAGGUUUCUCAGUCUGCCUUAGAGCACUCCUGACACGUCUAGCAACACUCAGAGUCUUAGUCGCUGGUUUACCAGGGGGAGACUGGAAAGAUGCAGCAAGCUCCAAUAAUUCAUGAUCUGCAUCAGAAUUAAAUGACUCAGCUCUAUAGUCCAAUUCAUCAAUUGAUACCAUAAAAAGUAGUGAAUCAGACAACCCAGAAUUAAUCAGCAUAAUGAUUGUAACAAGCCAUCCUCAGAGUUCGAUACUAUCUGAAGAUGGUAAUGUAUCGAGAAAAACUCUAUGUUUGGAAUAGUUACUUGAAUGGCUAAGAUAAAAUAGAUUAUUACUGACAAUCCUGUUUAUAUUAUUCUACCUCCAGUAGAAAACUAUUGGAUACCUUUGCAAAGCAACAAUGAAUUGACAACGAUGAAUAAACAGCUCAGCUAUAUCAUACAAAGCAGUGGGGAACAAAUUGCUUACGAUUAUUAUGAACUUCAGGUACAAUGUUUGAGACUCUUCGUGGAUUUCCACCAUCUUCAAGAUCAUCGGAAUAUGACAUUUCGACACCAUUCUUGUUAAACCAAUCUUCCAUAAAACGAGCAGCUGCGCCUUUGUUAUCCCCACUAAUCAACGAGUUUGUACGACUCAUAGAAGUUCCAUGCGUAGCAAACCAAUUGAAGCUACCCACUGGCCCCCACUCGCUAUCCACAAACUUCAAAAGUGUCAUUUCUUUGUCAACGUCAUACUUAUAUUUGCUUCGUUCCGCUGCAGGGUUAUUGAGGUAACCACUGGGACUGCGAUUUACUCCCGCAUCCAAAAGUUCCCCUGUUUAGCCAUUGGCAGAAACUUGGUAAGAUUAGAAGUAAAGAUGAAGACCUGAUAGAAGAAAUUGGAUUUCUGGAUGAUGACAAAUUGGCAAUUUCCAAGAAGAGGCAUGUUUCACUUAGUAGGUUGCUUCAUGAAGUAGAGAUUACCAUGUCCAGGUAUAAGGCAGGCCCUUCAUUCAAAAGUGGUUAUACAAAACUGAAGAUCGAAGAUUUAUGGUUUAAGCUUUCGGUUUCAUUAACAUGAUAAACCUCACAGCCAGAGAAACAGAAUCAUUGUUCCUCGUUACAUAUAUGCACAUGACAUGAUCCAGCAGGAAAAUUAACAGAUCUUUAGGGGCAGGCCCGCAAGUACAAAGACAACAUGCUUCAACUGAAGAAAUCUAAGAGCAGGACCAAGAACACACUAUUCUUGGCCAUAUGGUACAAAACCACAACAAAUUCUCAAAAAGUGUUUGAAUUGACGCAGACUGCAAACCUCAGGCUUAGGAAGAAACCUAACAAAUAAGAUGUUGAGAUUGUGUCUCUUACCUUUAUUCACGAAAACUGAUCCCGGCCUGAGAUUUUCAUGAGCGUCUAUGAUGCUCUUUUCGAUACCAUCAACAAUGACAUCAAAUGACUGGCGCACAAAGCCAAGAGAUGUGACAAUAUAUACAACAUAUUGGAGGAAGCCACCGGGACCAGCAUGCGUAUGGAUCCCACUGAUAGCUACAUUACUUUCAGUAUACAAGUCACCAUACCUGCCAACAUGACAACAUCCGUUUGGAAAGCCCUCAUUAGAUAACCCCUUUUUGCAUAUAUUAAGGAAUGUUUCUAUCUUCACAACAUUAGUGUCGCGAUUUAAUCAAGACUGUACCAACAGAAGUAAAAUCACAACAAAAAUUGGCAUAAUGCAAGCGCUACCUCGCCUUCAAUCUCUCGAGCACUUUGAUUGUCACCAACUGAGACGCCAUGCAAGCAUCGAGAUUCACGAAUGCGACACGCUUCCCUUUUGGUUCCGCCACGAUGAAUGCCCUCGCUUGGAGCCUGAAGUGAACUCCCGCCGCAACCUGUUCCGUAUUUGCGUAACCCAUCAUGUUGACAUCAGCAGCAGGGCCAGUGAUGUCGUAGCUCCCGAGACCAAUCAAAUAAUUGGAAUCGGAGCGCACUCCCACGCUCCCCUGCAGAAGCAACAGAGAAAUCCACAGCCAAGCAGCCAUCUGUGGUCUCCGGAUGGGGAGAUUGAAGCAACGAAGGAAUCCCAUCACAGCUCCGGCGGAUAAAACGUUUCGGCUAUUCAAUUCGCUCUCAUUUUCUAUAAAGGAAUCGGAAGAAAAACCGCAAUUCAUCAUCUCUGUGCGAAAAAAUAAAAAAUAAAAUAAAAUCGCAAAGAGGACAUAAUCCAGCUACUCUUCAAAGCGAAAACUUCAGCAAAACAGAACACUCAGCAGAUUAGGGCGAGCGAAAACAAAGCACCAGCCACGCGACGUAUUUAAUGCGACGGUACCAAACGAGAGCAACAAACGACGAUCACCGACCAUUCACCGUAUUCUCACGCUCUACCGAUCAACGCCUACACAUGAUAGGCGUAGGGACGUCGACCUCACCUGUUCGGCAAUAUAACUCAGUAGCUAGCUAAAAGAAGCGACAAUCGACUGACGAUCGACCUCGCCUACACCGCCGGGUCACCGGAGCGCACAGCUAAAGCGACCUCUCGCGCGAGGAAGCGCGAGGAAGCGCGAGGGCGAGGGCGGAUGGGGGAAAUCACCGGCGCGGUCGUCAGAAAAGCGAGGCAGCGAUAAGCAGGGAACGGAACUCGUACCUUCCGAACGGCCGGCGGCGGAAGGUCGGGGCCCGCGAGAUCGACGGCGGACGGCGCAGAAGGCGAUGCUCCCGGCUGGUUCAGUGGAUCCUCGGAGAAGACGAAGAAGAAUUUACAGAGAGAGAGAGUACGUAGGAGUGGUGGAUGGAGUCGGAGGGAGGGAGGGAGGGAGGGGAAAGCUGAGAAGCGAAGGCAAAUGCCGGUUGGUAAUCUUAAGCUUCGGACUUUUCCGUUCUUUCCUUUUCCCCACUUGAAUUUUUUUUUUUUUUUUGAAUUGAUCGAAUUAAAUAUUUUCCUUCUUUUGAUUUUUCUUGAUGUGGAAUUUUAAGUAUCCGAGCGCGGUUGACCGGCGGGUGCACGCAAGCCGCGACCGCGACAUUUUUUGGAGCGGGAGGGAACGCUCGUACGUCGCUAUCCGCCGCCCCCUCGUCGAUAGCGACGGCGGAGCUUUUGUCGGAGAUACGGUUCCUUUUCUUGGAGCGAUCGAGCGAAUCGAUUUAAUUGAGACUUAAAUCAUGUGCAAUUAUGAAUGUGUCUCCUGUAUGCUUUUAUUUUAUUUUUUCUUUAUUAUGCAGAUACAUUGUAUAAUAAAUACAAACUUAUAAGUACAAGUCUGUAUCGAAAAGUGAUUCGCUUUUUACUGAUUUCUCGAAUCCUUUGUUUCUUCUCUAUUCCAUGUUGGUUUUGUCCCUCUUUUUUUUUUUUUUUUGUUAAACUUUGCAACUUCGGACAUAAUCAUAUUCAUUCAUAGGCAUAUCGAAAUCACGCAUAUUUGGUCGUACCAGCUUUUGAUUUUCUCUCCAUAUUUCUUGUUUCGUCUCCACUAUUAUGUAAACAGAGAUGUGUAAUAUCAUUGACCCAAAGAUACACUCCGUAUCACAUAUCAAAAUUGUGUACUAUCGGGAACCCAAGUAAUGAUAUCAGAUGAAGUUUUCCACUUAUAAUUGCCAUCUCGUGAUCAUUAUGAUGUAACUAAAGGAAAAAUUCAAUAUCAAUGUUGCAUUUGAGUGCCGGAACUUCUUUCCUGAUCGCAAUUGCGGAUUAUAUCGAUAAGUCCUCAUGUAAUUGGCAUGGACUUUGGAAUUAUAAGAUGCUUGAUCGGUAGAGCUAACACAUGCAACAUGCGAUAUGUGUGCAUUCAUGAUUUUUCCGAUAACAAAGAAAGGAUUAAUGGUGUGUUUAUUUCAUAGAAAAUGAAUUAUUUCAAAUUUUCUAAAAAUAUAUAUAUCUUAAAUAUUUUCCAAAAAAUGAAUUUACGAAAAAUAGAUUGGCCAUCCAUGAAGAUAUUUAGAUAUAAUUAUUGUCAAUGAUGGAAAAUUUUUCAUUAAUUAAUUAUUUCAAGUGGUAUAAAUAAUCAUUUUUAAAAAAAUAAUGUUUUGUGAAACAAAGGCACUCGAUUGCGAAAUUGAUGCGCUGGGUGGGUUUCUUUUUCUUCCCGCCGCGAUCACGUGGUGGACAAAAGAAGUGCCAGGAAAAUGGAGUGCCAUUCCCACUCCGUUGUCAUAGCCCCGAAGACACGCCAUCCGAGAUGACCAAUUUUUCCAGGGUCCCAUGAUUGCGCACGUACCGUAGAUUACAAACUGGACACGCCCGCGUAUACCAAUUCGUACGUAUUUAAGUACGCAUAAUUACAUGAGAAAGGGCCAAAAGUUCUGUAAUCGGACCAUAUCUCUAUACGUAUAAUUACGAGCGGGAUUAAAGUUCAAUCGUGAAACUCUUGUGAGUCCGUCCGUGAAAUUACGAGGUUGGCUUAUACGUGUUCCUCUGUAUUCCCCAAACGUUUGUCUAGUUCUAAUAUUUGGCAUGUCAACGUGAAUUUUAAAACAUAAUAAUUUUUUUGUUUAGUCGAUUCGUGUAUUGAAAUAUAAGACGGCAUGGGCUCAGUGAUGUGUAGAUUUUUAAUAGGGUCGCGCAUUUCGACAAAUUGAAUUCUAAUUAUUCGUGUUUUCAUGGACAGCCAUGUCACGCUAGCUCUAAUUGGCCCGAAAGUCUUUCUUAUCGAAUUCAAGUGUCUUAGCUAAUGAGGGUGGCUAAUCUUUGAUUGGAGUUCAGAGGUUGACUGAACUUAGACGAUAACUCACCUUAAUUUCGGGCGAUGCCCAAGAAAAGGACAUAAUUUGUAGAAUUAUAACUAAGACUUCCAUAGAAAUAAAGUUAAGAUGGUGAUGAAAUACAUUUGUCUUUUUUAACAAACGAACUCAACUAACUUAGUCUAUUAUUUUUCAAAGUAUUUAAAAAUUGUCACGUCGGAUUUUUCUGAUACUUCAAUUAGACACUGUUAAUAGAAGUAUCUUUGAUGGCACUCUAAGAGGUUGACUAAACUUGGACAACAACUCACCUUAAUUGCUGGCAAUACCAAAAUAGGAGCACUAUUGCGUAGAAUUAUAACUAAGACUUCCAUAGAAAGAAAGUUGAGAUUGGGACAAAAUACAUUUAUCGUUUUUAAUAAUCGCUCGACUAACUUGUUUCCAUCAUUUUCCAAAGUAACCAUCACGUUAUAUCUUUAAUUAGACAUGGUAUCUUUGAUUGGAAUUUGAGAGGUUGACUAAACUUAGACGAUUGCUCACCUUAAUCGAGGGCAUACCAAAAUAGACACAAUUGUGUAGAAUUACAACUAAGACUUCCAUAAAAAUAAGUUAAGAUUAAGAUGGAAUACAUCUAUCGUUUUAAUAAUCACUCAACUAACUUGUUUCCAUUAUCUUCCAAAGUAACCGUCACGUUAUAUUUUGUUGGUUGCUCAACUUAGACAAGGUUAAUAGAAGUUUGGUUUCUUAUUACAAAACAAUCAACACUGGUAUACUUAUGUCAAAUUUACUUCAAUUAGUUCCUGUUAAAUUUUGCUAUCAAAUUACUGAGUUUGAUGACACGUGACGAUUGACUUGUGUACUAGUAAUUUGAAAAUUUAUGCUCCUUUUAUUAUAGAUGUAUCAGCCUACGAUUUUUGUUACAUUAAUUAUUUUAAAUGAUAUAAGUGAUUAUUUUUAGGAUUAUAUUUUCUAAAUGAUCUAUUUUCACCUUGGAUGGGUUUUUGUGGUACGACCAAACAUGUUGUGGAGCAUGGGGUGCCAUUCGCACUCCGUUGUCAUAGCCCAGAAGACACGCAAUCUGAGAUCAAUUUUUCAAGAGAAUCCUGAGAUUGCGCAUGGAUCGUAGAUUACCACUAGACAUAUCCACGUAUAACAACUUGUACGCAUUUAAAUACGUAUAAUUACAUGAAAAGGGCCAACAGUUCUGUAAUUGGAUUAUGUUUUUAUACGUAUAAUUACCAGCUGCAAUCAAUAAAUUUUUGUGAGUCCAUUUGUGUAUUUACAAGUUGGGGUAAUAACAAUAAGGGUGUCCCAUAACUUAUUUUUCGCUUACUUAAGGGUCAUAAUUUUGAAAAUUGAUUACUUGAGUACCGUUAACGAUUUGUCUUGCUGGAAAAUCUAACAUGGACGCCAGUCAUAUUACAUGACUUCACUAGCACUAAUGUGGACAAAUUUGUUUUAAUAUUUUUAAUUUUUUGAAUUUUGUAUUUCUUUUUUUGGGGGCCAGGGCAAGGCCACGAAGGCUACUAGCCCUAGACGAGGUAGCCUCCCCCAUGGCUAGCGAGGUCAUGAUGCCCUUGCUCAGGGCCUUCGCGGCCACACCCAGAUUGGGGGAGGGUUUUGCGGCUGAUGAGAAUCGCCGAUGACCCUACAUGCCAUUAAAAAAAAAAGACAAAAAAAGCAAAAGAAAAUUAAAAAAUCAAAAUGAAUUCAAAAAAUCAACAUAGGAUGAUUUACUAGAGUUAGCAGUCAAAUGAUCAAUUUUAUUCCGAUAUCACACUUAAGUGAAUGAAAAAAAAAUUGUGACACUUAAGUGAGUACCGUAUGAAAGUUAUGGUACUCCAGCCGUCAUUCUCCCGUACAAGUUUGGUUUAUACGUGUUUUGAGGUAAUCCCAAAAUUUUGUCUAAUUUAAUAUUUACCAUGUCACCAUUAAAUUAAUAAUAUAAUAGAUAUUUUGUUGACUCGAUUUUUUUAUUGAAUUCUAAGAUGAGAUGUGCGCGUGUGUGUGUUUUUUUUUUUAUGACCUAGGAACCUCGUACAGCUAGCAGUUGGCCGAGCAAACUUGGGGGACGCUAGCAUAGGACUUACCACCCCGAUAUCCCGGGUAAGACACCAAGCACCUCCACUGGGUUUCGAACCCCUCACCUUUGGGUAAGGAUCAAGGAAGCUCUUAUUCAGCGGAGCCACCACGGCCAAUGGUGAUGAGAUGUGUGUGUUGAUGUGCAAACUUUAAUAGAUUUAGGAUGCUCGAUGAGUUGGAUUUUAGUUAUUCGUGUUUUCUUGCACAAUCAUGUUAUAAUAGUUAUAGUUGGGCUAGGAAUUUUUCUUAUCAUAUAAUAAUGCCCUUAUUGAUGAUGAUCUAUGAAGCACCGAUACAUUUCAGGAGCCUUCUUGUUAUGUUAAAUACUUCAACAUGUAUUCGACACUCUCCACUACUCAAUCAAUAGAAAACCUGAUCAACUCUCCAAACACUCUCAAAGUUUGAAAUUCCGAAAUGUGAUUCCAACACACACUUAAUAAUUUUAAAAAAAUUCAGUAAAUGAUGAAUCAAAAUGUAAAUAUGUAAAAAAAAAAAUGAAAAAAAAUGAAAAUAAUAAAGAGGAAAAGAAGAAAAACUUAAUCUUCUCUUCUCUUCGGCUCUCACUUCUUCUGACACACAAUUCACUCCCAAUAUUUAUUUUUUCUCUUCUCUUCCGACAUGUUUUAAUGCACAAGUCCAAAAUGUGGAUCACUUUUUUUUUUCCCUCCAAGCUGGAUUGAUUAUUGGAAUGGAGCUGAAUUUAUCAAAUUGAAAUAAUAAAUAAUAUUAACAAAUAGUGGAUUGAUGUUUUUAGUGUAAAUUCAUUUUAGGUUCUUUUUUAUUAUUUAUUUAUUUAUGGAUUUGAAUCAAAUUAAUUUGAUUGAAAUAAUUAUAAAAAUGAUAAUUUGUUAUGUAUAUAUAAAAAUGUAUAUUUAAUAUACAUUGUAUCCCAACGUGUCGGAAUUCUCUAUUUUUUGAGAAACAAUGUAUCAACGUAUUGUGUUGUAUCGUGUCGAUGCCACUUUUUUUUUUUUUUUGGUCGAUCACUUAGAUAAUGAUAACCUAUCUUUAAUUGGAUUUAAGAGGUUGACUAAGCUUGACUUCCACCUUAAUUGUGGGAAAUGCCUAAAAAGGAACUUAAUCAUGUAGAAUUAUAAUUAAGACUUCCAUAAAGAUGAAGUUAAGAUUGUGACUAAAUACAUUUAUCUGUUUUAAUUAACCUUAGUUAACUUAGUCUAUUAUCUUCCAAAAUAAAUAAAAAUCAUCACUUCAGAUUUUUACGUUACUUAAAUUAUACCAAAUUAAUAAAAGCAUUCGAAACUACAAUUUUGAACAAAAAUUUGAAUUUAUUGCACUUAUGCGAAAGUUUUAAAAUUUAUAAUGGAUUUUCCCGAGAAGUGUUAGAAUUCUCAACGGGCUUAUUCUAUUCCUCCCUAAGAGAGAGAAAAAAAGAAGAACAGAAAUUACACUUUUUUGUCCCUGUUAAAAAUUUCCAUUUCAUUUUUCCUUUUUUUAAGGAAAAAAAUAAUUCCUAAGAUCACUCCCUCGUGCCUUCUACUUUCCCUAACCUUGGACGCUCAGAAAACCGCCGGAGGAUCAAGAACGUAAGAGCUCUGAUGUCCCAAAGCAGCCGCCGCGACAAGUGACGGCAGCUCUCGCGAUUCAAGGAAAAGGGGGAACAGCAAUGGCUGCCGCUCUCGUCGGCAAGAACCCGACCCACCGAACCCUAGACCUGCUGCGGCAAUCGUUCGGCUUCCUCAGAAACUUCAGCGCCGCCGCUUCGCCGCCGCCGCCUUCUCCGGCGAGCGGCGCUUCUCCUCCCGCUUCUUCGAAGAAGCCGAAGCGGAAGAAGAAGAAGAACCUGUUCGAGGUGGCUCAGUUCCUUCCCAACUGGGGCAUCGGGUACCACAUGGCCAAGACUCACUGGGCCGGCGUCUCCUACCAGAUCACCAAGAUCAAUCUCUACAAGGUGGGGCUCUUCGAUUUGCUUGGGGGGGGGGGGGGGAGGGGAGGGGUUUAGAAUUUUUGGAUAUAUUGCUGAGUUGGUGAUUGAUUCGUCCUUUUCUGAGGGUUUAGGGUUUAUGUGAUGUGUUUUGGGCAGGAUGGGAGGCAUGGCAAGGCGUGGGGCGUCGUUCACAAAGAAGGUCAGUUCUGAAUUACAUCCUUGCGAUUUGCGAUUUAUACUUCACUGGGUGGAUGAUGAUUGAAUACUCUAGAAGCUAUAUGGGAAGGAGUGAUUUGACUUGAGCAGAAAAUGCAAUGCGGAAUAACUUCGUUGCAGCGCAGGCCUGUUAGUUCGAAAUUCCGAGCAGCGUUGAACCCUUUUUCGUGCGCAUUUUCUUUGUUUGCUUUCGUGUUCCUCUCUGUGAUUGUUUAAGCAUUUGCAGAGGUGACAUUUUUCCACAGCUUCUAUUAGUUUCUAUGGCUUAUCGGUGACAGGAUUUAUCAUAAAUCACGAGGCUGGGGGAAUCUAAUUUACUCUAUCAACCAAAGAAAAUAUCUAUCAGUGGUGCCUUAGACAGAAUUGCUAUGAUGCCCAUCAUAGUUUGACAUUUCCACCUAGGAGCUGCUUUGCUGUAUUUUGAUAGGAAACUUUGAAUCUCCUAAUACCUUCAUUGGCCUAGUUUUUGAAGGAAAAACCUGUCUAAGACCAUUCCUUGUUCAAGGAGAGCUUCUUUGACUUCCGAAGUGAUGAGCCAAUGGCACUUGAAAAGAUGUCAGCAAGAUUAUGCUAUAUUGUGGAGUUCUUUCGUGUAAUCUUAUCGACUUCAUUGACUUUAUGAAGGAACGACAUGAUUGAAUUCGGAGACAUAGAACGUGGGCAUUGUAUAAGUCAUUAACUCAUCCCCCAUGUAAGGAGGGGGAGACUCUGGGACAGGAAAGAAAGAUGCGGGGUUGCCACUAUUGAGGUUGCUCCUUGAAAGGAGUUUGCAUUUUUUGCUGUUGUUUUAUGCACGUGUUCUGUUAGGGUUGGUUGAUCCCUGAAGAAUCUUCCCGUAUGUGAUCUCUAUGUACUGGAAACUUGUUAGAAAUUCGCUUCUCUCGUUUAGUGUACUUGUCGAGCAACGAUAACUGCUGAAAGCUUCUCUCGCGAUUCCUCCUUCUCUUAGAACUUUUUUUUGUCUGAUUUGAUGUUUGGGGUUUACUUAACAUUCUUGUUGCUUCACUCAGGGUUGCCACCUGCCGAUGCUCCGAAGAAAAUAGGUGGCGUUCACAAGCGCUGUUGGAGGUAUAUUCCUAAUCUGGGAAGUGCAUCUAGUAGCCUACCAAGUUCGACAAAGCCAACGGAAACUCCACAAGCUGAAGCUCAAGCUGCUUGACAUUUGUUUGUUUAGAUUUUCACUGAAAUGAAAGCUUGGAGGAGUCUUUGGGCUUCGAACUUUAGUGUAUUUGAUGAGUUCUUGGUGACGAUAGUCAAGAUUAGCACCUCUAUUCCUGCCAAGAACUUUCACCAAUUAUGUGAUGAUUUUUCUCACAUCCCAUCUGGUGUGGGCCUUGAAUUGGAGAAGUAGGUGGGUGUUAACAAAUGCAGAUGGAAACAUUCCAUUUAGAUAAUAAUUUGACUGCCUACUAAGGAGAGUCAUGGCCAGUGCACAUGUGAGUUGGUGCUGCCAUCGCCACUGGUAACAUAUGUGAGGUUUUUUCGCUCCAUUGGUGGGCUAUACAACGGCAUGGUGAUUUGCAGAGGAAUAACUUCCUGUCGUGAGGUCUCGAGAUCCAAAAUGUUAGAUCAUCUUUCUUGAAGUCUCCUCGUUUGAAGAAGGGGAUUACUAAGCCAUAGCACCUGAGGUUCUUAAAGAUAGUGUUCGAGGUAGAGAACAAUGUGGAAGCUAUAGAUAGUUACUCAUAUUGUUCGCACUUUGUGAGCUGCACCAUAUUUGUCUGCUAGAACGUGAGAAAUCUGACAUGGUAUCUGCUUAUAUAAAAAUAUUCAGGAUCUGGUUCCGACAUGAACCUAAGUGCCCCUACCAAUAUCUGGAUGGCGGUCUAUGAGAGCUCCGAUGCGUGAUGUGCUGAACAUGAAUGCUGUUUUGACAAAAACGGACUUACCUACUUUAUUAGGGAGUCCUGGAACGAAUUCUGUGAACGUUUUUUGGGUAGGAGAUGAACAUGAACAGCACUCAUGCCGAAGGCCUGUCUGUCAACGAGCCUAAUCGUGUGACAUGCCUGAUUUGAUUUUCACUCAUGAGACGAGAUUCCCUUAAACGGUCAGCACCGCACUGAUUACCCUCAUUGUAUGCAAGUGGAACUGCCGAAAUACAAUGAUUCCUAAUAAGAGAAGAGCCUGAUGGUUCAAUCAGUGUCCCGGCAAAAUUGAGAGAAUUACCAUAAGGUAAAAACCAUCACGAAACCAGGGAAAACUUAAUGAAAAUCAAUAGAGUUGACCAAUGUAUAACCGUAGUGAAUAACUGUGUUUUUCUUCACCAAACGUAAGAGGAACAAGACGAAUUGAUGGAUGGAAGCAAGGGUCCCUGAGUUUAUUGCCUUCCGAUGUUUUCGUGUCAUGCUAGGUGUGGCAUCGUCAACAUCUGAAAUGUAGGAUUAUCUAUAUUCAACACAAUCUGACACGAUCAUGAACAUAGAUAUUUGAUAAAUUUAUAGGUGACAUGAACCGGCACAGAUUCAAAAUAGAUCAAGCUCUUAGCAUGUUGAGCAAAUAUAAUAACGUUUUACGAUGAUAUAUUCAAAUUUAACACAUAAAUGCAGAUCACAAGGCCUCAAUAGUUAAAGUUUGGAGCUUGGAAUGUAAAGCUCUAUGAUGGGACGAGGUAUUAGUUUGAGUACUAUUUCAUGUGUGGUAUUAAUGUCAUAACAUUAACAAACAACAUCAAGUGUUAUGAUCAUUGCACAAAAUACUUGCUUGAGGGAAAAUAGACAAAGCCAUUAUAUGGUAUUAUUGAAGAGCAGCGAUAGAUCCACCAUAUGGAAAGACUCGUUCUAUAAUCUUUAAAGCACCAUUCCAAAUGAAUCUCCCACCAUCAAUAACUGAUUUACGAAGAGCAUACUCUGCAGUUUUUGGAGUUACACUUAAGGGAAAUAAUGAUGAUCGGCAUCACAGCUAUCUUCAGCCCGUGUUAUUAUUGAUAUACCAUCUUUCAGCCUUUCCCAUCUUCAGUACCAGAAGUAUUAGGUAUAUUACACCUCUACAAGCAUCAGAAAAAUCUUAUCUUAUAAAGCAAAGGAAGCUGAGUAUGUGGCAAUUCUGUUGGCAUCCAUGCUCAGACUGCAGAGCUCAUGGUAACCCCGUUUAAGAGAUUGUAUUGCUCUCCCCUGCCCUUGCUUUCCUUGUCUUUAGUACUCAAUGGUAGGGAUGGUGAAUAUGCAGCUGCCAUUGAUCUAUCGGGCAUUUCUGUGACAAAGAAACCGCAACAGAUUACUAGAGCAUUCCAUAAAAGGUAGCCACGUUUGUUAUGCAAGUUUCAGAAAGACUAGCAUGUGAUUCAUAUUCAUCAACUCCAUGAAUAAGUAUCACCAAUCAGUAAUAGAUCCAUGUUACAGUGAAAAUUGCAUGUAUAAUCAAUAACCUACCUGGCAAUUUCCUGUCAAUACAAAACACAACCAGAUUCACAGUAUACCUGCAUUGCAAAUAGACAACUCUCAGUCCAUAUUUCGGCUAGUUUCCUGAAAAAAAUCCACAUAGAAUUGUUAUUACCAUGCAACAACAAUGUCCACCGUAUAAUGCUUGCGAGAUGCUAUAAUUAGCAGGCUCUGAACCACCGCAAGUAACCAAGCAAAUUGCUUGAUAAACCUACAAGCAAACAUAAGCACAUCAACAACAAAGAAAGGAGCAAUCAUGAAAAUAAGACCACCCGUUAAGCCUGAUGACAAGUCUUUUUUCAACUACAGCAAUUACUGGCCAGGGAAAAGGACUAUUUUGCUUGAGAAAUCACAUGCAUUUUGCAAUGGACUACCUCUUUGUGCCAUGCUUCUGAUAUGUGUUGACAAACACUAAUGUAAAGAUCAUGUGUGAUGAAAAAAUCAAGUCACCGCAACCAUAGAGAAUUCCUCGUGGAACUGCAGGCAAAAAAGAAUCACAUCAGCAUCAAAGCGUAUAAUGUCAAUGUGAGGAAGUAUAUUUAUAUAUUACUUUUUAACACUCACAGUUUAAAAAGACCACUUCAAGCACACUUUUUGGAGGUGGUAACGUGGCAAGUUCUGAACCCUGAAGAAACGAAUCCAUUUUAUUGCAAUCACGAGGAAAGAAAUUGCUAGGAACCAGUAGUAACAAUUCCAAGUAUCAAAUAGAAAGAUCAGAGAAUAUUACUGUAUCCUACCUCACGGCAAUGGUAGUUUGGACCGGGUAACUGAGUUGAAUAGAAUGUAACAAUCCGGAGAACUUGAGAAGCCUAGAAAAUCAAGGUGAACCUAAAGAAAUUGUUAAGCAGACAUAGAAGGAUACUAUAUUAUCCUUGAAUCAUACCAUCAGCGAUGCAAGGAUGCAAGUUAAAAUAUAUACAAAUAAGACAGCAACUCAACCUGCAACAGAGGUAUCAUAGGCAACUGUCUACUACGAACCCGAUUGGAUCAUUCUAUUCACAGGUCAUAAGCAGGGGAUGAGUGGAUUUACACAAUGACAUGGUGAUGGGGCACUUGCCACUAUGCCAUUCUAAGGUAUAUUAUCAGGAUGGCUGAAUAUAGGCACGGACCAUCAAAGAGGAAGCGUGGGACACACUAAAGUCUAAACCAUCCCCCUUUCACUAAUUGCCAUUUUACAGCAUCCCAAGAAAUCUAUUACAAUGUGAAUGAUGACAAGGAAAUAAUUAAUGAGUAGAACCUACCUAAGAGUAACUUCACUAGAAAGUCCAUUCUUCAUGUCCAAGUCACUUAAAAUGGCACUUUGGAAGAUGAAAGAAGCAGCUAAUGCUUUUCCAAACAUAUUCCUAAUCAACCCGACAGACAUCAGCACUCAAACAAGCAGAAGCAAGUCCCCUUGAAUGAGGUGCACUUGCUAAGCGUGAGGGUAUCAGUAGGAAAAAAAUGUAUGAAAGCAAAGAAGACUUAAAGUGGUGAAUCAACUCAUCAAUAUAAAAAAGAAAAAGAAAAAUUGAAUGUAGUUGUGCAAUUUCAGAUCAGAUAUUGCCAUAACUUUUUUUUUGGCCAAAAUAUAUCCCCAUAGAUUAAGUGAUCAACUUUUUCCUUUUUCUUUUUAUAUGCUGGAAAGAAAAAAGUUGGCUAUGCAUGGAAAGGUUCACUGAAAAUUGGAAUAACAAGAUUCAGCAUGUAAAAUUUCUUGCCUACAGCAAUUUUCCAUUAAGUGACCGUUCCCCAGAAGAAUCAGUAUCAAAAGUUGCAAUAGAAACCCUGAAGCCUGGGGAUUCAUUCACAAACUUGCAUAACUAUUAAAACAAAAUGAAGCUACAUAAGUUUCAGAAACAUAGGGUUCACUUACAACUAAAUAAGCAAGAACCCUGCACCAUAUCAGGACUGUAUAAAUUUUUUUGUUCUGGAAUAUGAAUGGGUGAAAAGUCCACUGCAACAGAAAAAGGUUUCUGUUAGUCAAAAACUAGAGUAAAGAAACUGCUAGAGAAAAAAGGAUUAUUAACAUGAAAUAGAAAUGACAUAAGUUGUCGCACUUAAUGCUUGGAAAAUAAGUAACAACAACAACAGUUGAGUAUAAUCAUGUCAUAUAACAGAAAAUAGUCACAACAACAGUGAAGUUUUACAAUAAUGUCAUGUAACAAAUAAUGGUAUAUGACCAUGAUGGUUGAGUAAGGGAAACAUAUAAGUUUUCUACCAAAGCCUUAGACAAGGGAGGAACUUAUGCGGCACAUGUGUGACCUCAGAGUGUCUUAUUCUUUCGCCCAUUACUACAGCCAAUGGAGUUUACCUAUAAAUGAUGCCUUUCAUUUCCUCAUACAAAUAAAAAAACCAGCCUUUGGGACAUUAUCUAACUUAAAUUAUGAAAAAGAGAUUCUGCAAUAAAUGUAGAAUUAGUACCAGAAAAUUAAAGUGAUAUUAAAACACAUCCUCAAGGAUAUAAGUGAAGGUAGAUACAGGAAAAUCUUAAGUUGCAAUUUCAGAUUUAUUUGUCAACCAAUGAAAAUUUUUUUAUAAGAAUUCUCAGGAGCUCAUUGAUUACUUUGCACAGAUCUACAUUUGAUUCAAGGAAAAAAGAACAUCCGUCUAAAUUAAGUUUGUAAAAGCCCAGAUGCACAAUAACUUCUUGGGUUAAAUGAAAAGCCACGCAGAUGCCACCUAUAACAGGAUCACUGUGUCUAAUCAUAGCAGGCACUUGUGAGAGUAUAUCUAAAGUAGGAUUAUGAUAGUUUUCUGAUCACCAAAAGUGAGGAGAACUUAUUUCUAACUUCUAGAUGAUAUGGAAUGAUAGAACUGCAAUCAGGAGAUAUGAUUUCUCCAAGCUUAAAAAACUUUAAAAUCUCACCAAAGCAAACGAACAGAAGACAGAGGCAAACAAAGCCUCACUGAUAGAACCUUUUUCUCGACCAAGUUCCUACAAUAUCAUGAAAUGAGAAACAAUCAGAACAAAUAAACUUUUUCCAAAGACUGCAGUCUAGAUCCGAAUGGAAAAAGUAUGCUUACAGGAAUAAGAAGAAAACCAAUGUCCUGAAGUAUUGGGCCUGGACGAUGCAAGUAGUGGACCCCUCUGGCAGCCAAUCCAUGAAUGUACUGUCGAUUAUGGCACAACAAUCCAGCAUCAUUCAUGCGAUUCCCAAAAAACCAUUUUUUUAAUAAAAAGAUACAAGUGCAUACAGUCACUUAAGACACUCUCUUAUUCCAUACACAAAAAUACUUUCGUGAAACAAUCAAAGAAAUAUAGUUUCCCAAAUGAAUAGCAGAGGACGUAGAAAUAUUACCAAAGCAACUAUUAAAAAAAUCAUACCCCUUACGCUUCACUUAGUCCAUCACUUUCCAAGCAUACCAGAACUGACAAAUCACCAAAAUACAGCGGACUGGAGAACAGAGAUAUUGACAGUGGAUGCCAGUGACUCAUAUCUUAGACACAAACGAACAAAUUUGGCUGAUAUUGAUAUAUACAAUCGGGUGCAUCACAACGAAUUACCACAAACUUUUCAUUUUCCUGAUCACCUAAAACCAAUAUAACUGUUUGAACCAGUAAGCACAGACCUAUCAAGCUUUAAUUUAGUAAAUAAGCAUAGCAGCACAGAACACCCGCAAAGCAGCAGUCGAAUAAUCAAAGGAAGGAGCAAAAGCAAAAACAUCAAACCAUCAUUUAUUCGAACCUCAUCUAUCAGUAUGUCGCACUUAAGUCGACGUUGAUUUUCGAACAAGACAUAACCACGACUCUCUCAGGACAAAGGACAGGAGGCAAAACCUGGAAAACAACUCCACCAAGAAGGUACUUCCAGCUCUCGGCAAGCAGCGGAAUCUCUACCGUCACCUCCCCGCAAAUCUUCCUCCACAACUUCACGCCGAGAAAACGAGGAACGCUCAAAAACACGGAGCAGAGCAGACCUAAGGAAAAAGUGUAUCCUACGGGAAUCGAAAAUCGAGAAUCCAGGCAGGUACCUUAGAAGCCCCGCGGCGCACAUAGAGCGGCAUUCUUCAGCGGCGGCGAGGCUAGAGCUCGACAUCGAUCAUCGUCAAAACCUCGAUCCGUCGUCGUGAUCCCCGAGCGCCCUCGGAAACCGCCGGGACAUCGCAGACCGGCGGAUCGCGAUCGACGAUCGAGUCGGAGCCGCCCGGACGCCUUCAGUUUCCGAUCAAAAACCCCGGAUUCGCGAUCGAAGGGAAGCGCCGGCCGAGAGGGAAGUGUGGGGUGGGCGGUAGGGGGUUUGACCGGAAGGGCGGAGGAGAUUCUAGAGAGCGAUAUUUUCUUUUUCUGCUUUCGGUUGCGCGGAAAGCUGCUUUUGAAAAGAGCUGAAAACGUCGCCGGACGAAGAUGACGCGACGGGGAGAAGAAGAAAGCGAGAGGAAGAGAGAGAAAGAGGGAGGAGAGAGAGGGAGCAGUUAUUAUCAUUUUCACGAUGCGGCUUGACUUCUCACGACGGCGACGACGACGGCGACGCGCGAGGGGCGAUUAUCCGAUGCUUCGCGACCCCCCCGAUCGGCGCUUGACGUCGCCGUUUAUCAGCCGCGAGAUUGGAUGCCGUCUGUUUCGUCCGGGUUGUUUCGCGCAUCUUCCCCGGGGAAUCGUAAGCCCCCUCGAAAGUUCCGAGUGGGCCCCUCGCGUGGGGCCGGCAUCGCUCGGAUUUUUUAGGGUCCUGAUGUGUUUGGUGGGCCGCCCGCCCCGAGCGAGACCGCGAGAGCUGUGCACCGCACAUUAGUUUUUGUUAAUCCAAACCUUAAUAUUAUUCGAAGUGGGAACGGAUGUUGAAAUCAGCUGACUUUCGGGAGAAUUAAGAAUUAGGGUCUAGCCGCUUAAAAGUCAGGUUCCGGAUUUUAAAAUCUGAAACCUAAACCAACCCUGUCGGGACCUUGAACCGGACCAAAAUUGAUCAAAUAGGAUUGAUCCGGUUCGAUUCCAAAAUCUACCUUGAAUCAAAUGCUCACCCCCAAAUUAAGUGUCUUCGUCAAGGGUAAGCUAUUUCAGUUUACCACAUACUUAUUCACGAGAAUUACUUGUCAAACAUGCAAUCGAUGCGAGAUUCGAAAGCACCCGCCAUCCUGACUGUCGAGACACCGCACAUUUUCAUAUCAUCUUUCAACCGAAGAGACCGGCGACCAGACCCCCAAAGUAUGGCGAUGUAGCGAAGAGAUUCACUAGGAAAUAUGCACACUUACGUUAUGGAGUGAAGUAAAAUAGGAACAGUUCUAUGACUACAGAUGACAUCGAUACUAUUGCUAGAACAAGGCGAGAGAAGAAUUCUUCGAAGAAGGUCCCUGUUAUUGUCCCUGAAACAAACAUCUCCAGGAUUUAUCUUUGCUUAAGGUUUUUGCCUAUAUAAAGAAGUCCCGACCAGGCUUAGAAGGCUGACUAUACUCCCGUAUAUUCUGUAGCUGCGACGGCGUCUGCGAGGAUUGCGCUAAACUCUCCCGGCAGGAGAAAGAGGAGGAUAAGUGACAUACUUUGCGGAAGCGUCUCGUACGAUGUGAUUAGGAGGCCGAGUGCCGCCCUCGCAGGUCGACGUAGUUUUGCUAAGCGGCUUUUCUUCGGCUGCAUUAUGCAUUUCUGAGCGCUCAAUCAGUUUUCUACUGUCUAAGACCGCAAUGCAUAUGGAGAAGGCUUGUAACACCGAGAGAGACGAACUAAACUCGACCGAGAAUAUGUUAUCCUUGAACGGAGCCAAAAUAAAGGCAGGCUGGUUUUCCUGUGUAUCCACCUGCAAAUAGGGAUUGAUCAUAAAGCAAAGUCAAUAAUUUGAUUUUACAAGCAAGACGGAUGAAUAUGAUCAGCAAAGGCCUAUACAGAAAGAGUACCUGAGACUGAGAGAAAAGGGCAAAUUGGUCAGACGAGUUUGAUGAACUCGAGUUCUUGCAAAGAUGACCAUGAGUGCCCAAUAUCUUAAGUUCACAACCCAUGUCCCAACCUCCACAAUCACAAGAGCCACCUGACUUCCACCUUUCGAUGAGUGAUGAAGGUCCUCCAUUACUUGGUAGACUAUGGACACCGCUUGGAAGUAUCACCGUUGCGCCCAUAGGCACUUCAUUCAUGAGGGGAUUCUGAUCGUCUGGAUUUUCUCCGUUAGUAGAAUUAGAUAGCCGAUUCUUGAAGGAAACCAUUGAUUCGAGCUCUGAUAAGCCAUCGCGGGUAUUAUUUUCAGGCCCAUCAUGGGCUGAACCUUUUUUCAUAGGCCAUGGGAUCUGUGCAACAAUAGCUGCAAGCUCAUCCUUCGGUUGGAAUUCUGUUGUUUGUUGAUCUUGCUGUCUAGUGUCCACAGCAAGCAAUACAUACUCCAGAGAUCCAUACCGAUCUGUAGAAAUGCCUGAUUUCGACUUUAAGAAGCAGAACCCAGAAACCUUCAUCUGAGCAACGACAUUAGGGAUGUAACCCUGACCUUUGCCCUUAUUUCCUUGACUAAUCCAAGUCCCGCUCUUUUUUCUGGCUUCACGAAUUGUGAAAAACGUAUACAUCCAGCUGGAUUUAUCAGCUUGCAGGGAACUGCAUUCCUUCAUUGUGGCUGCAAGAAUAUCACUGUCAUUGUUGACAGCAAAUGAGAGCAAAGGAAGGCCAUUUUUAUAUGCAACCCGGAGAAGAGCUUGCACUGGCAAUGAUCCUUGCCUCUUGUUUGAAUGGGAGUUACGGACAUCAAUUGUUUUGCAACUAGACAAAUCCAACUUCAAUUUUGCUGGUUGUCCAGUCAGAGAAUCUGAUUGACCAUUUAAUGAUGUGAAUUUAUCCUUAGAAACUGAAUGUUCCUGCAAUGGAUCACUGCAGUGAUGGAUAAUUGACGACUUUGGUUUCAGUAUUGGGUCCAGCAACCUUCUCAAAGGGCUGGACCUGGAUCUUCCAGCAGAAUUAGACCUGUCAGUGUGUGAAUUGUCUGAGCAAGCAGAGAAUUCAGCAUUUUCUGGUAUGGAUUUGGCAGAAGCAUGUUUGGCAUCCAAUUUCCUUGAGGUCAAACCCUCUUUUGACCCGGAAUUUUUCACUAUUUUGCCCAUACCGAUGCUCAAUCGACGAAAAGGUGAAGUGCUUCUUACCUUCUCAGUUGUCACAUUGCCUACUUUUGGUUCUGAUCCCCUCAAUGCAUCUGAAAGCAUAGGCAUGAUACUUGGAAUUUUCUUCUCUGAAUUUCCUACUCUAGAUGUACAAGAAACUCCAGCUGACUGUUCAGUCUGAUGAGACACAUCUGGCGGAAACUUUGAACUGCCUGCAUCCAUGGAGCUACGCCUUUUCAUUCGUAAUUGGGUGUUACAGUCAAAUUCAAGAGGUGAGGCACAAGUGCAAGAAUGUUGCACGUCCGAAUGGAGUCUUGCAUGAUGAGUUUCCCUGGAUCUUUCCAGAAUACCUCUUCUACUUACCUCUGAUAAUUUCUUGUCGGAGUGUGUUCUUGACUUCACAGGCUUGGGUACUUCAGAAUUAGCACGAUUUGGCGCAUCUUUGGGCACAAGGAGAACCACUCUAUUGGGUCUUUCUGUUAAUUCUGGCUCAAAGACACCAGAGUUCGACUCUUGGGUCUUCUCUAAUCUCUUCACAAAAUCACAUUCUUUAACUUCUGCCUUCUCAGUGGAACAAGAUCCCACCUCAGCGCUUUUGAAGCAUGGCAGAGUUUCAGCUUUCUGAAUGGGCUCAGGCUCCAGCCUGCCCUUUUUAUCCUUCAUCUUUUCCCCUAAAUGGAUCUGAACUGUUCUGUUGACUUCAUGCUGCACCUGCCGGUACUCGUUCUCCUGGACAUCUUUCAGAUCUUUACACGUACUGAGAUUCUCUCUUGAAGGCCUCCCAGAUUGCACAUCCAUAUCUUUGGGAGAAGAUAGCAGCUGAGAUUGAAGUGUGGAGCGGGGUAUUCUCUGGUGUAUAGGGGAGCAACUACGACCUCUGCUGGAAUGGCUGGAUGAUCCCUCCACUGAGAACGAAGAGGAGGUGCUGCUACUAGAGGUGGAAUACCUGCCAUUUCUGGGCGUAGUCUGUUUGUGGCUAUGCUGCCAUUUUUCAAGACGUCGCCAGUCAAGAACUCCAACACUAAAAGCUUUCUCCGGGACAUUUUUCCCCCUCUCAAGAAAAGCUGGCAACUUCGACAUGUACUUAACCAGUUCAUCAUCCUCGGCUGUAUUUCUUCUGGUUCUGGCGCCCUGUUUAUCCUCCAAAGGAUAAGUUGGUUCAUCUUCUACAGCAUUCGUGAUUUCAUGAUUAAAAUCGGCAUAUGACAAAUUAGCAUCUACUUGGAACCUUUCGUGCAGGUUCAUACCGCGAUAAGCAUGAGUCUUCCCAUUUUCUUUCUUGGGUGCUUUCUCAACUCCUAAACUGUUGUUGAGCUCUGAGCAUUCCAUACUUUUAAGGAUUUACUUUUAGCGCCUCAGUCGCAUGCUACCUAUCCCUUUCACCAAGCCACCACUGUAUUUUUCAAUCUUUUAAACCUCAAUGCCCAGAACAACGUAACUCACAAAUGUCUCUGGUGACAUUAACUGCAAACCAUAGGUAGAUUAAACUCAGUAAACUGGGAGUCUACAAUCUGAUAAAUGAUAACAGUAAUAGAACAGAUCAGCAGCUAGCAUAUUAUGUGAGAAAAGGCACAUGACUAUGCAAGUUUAUUGUUUCGUAAAAGAUAUGGCAUUCCAUGCAUGAAACAAACAACUGAAAGUGGCAAAGAAGAUAUCUGACAAGAUAACAAACAAGUGUUCGAGGGAGAGAUAAGGGGCAUAUCCAGAUUCCAGACAUUAUUCAGGCAACGGAGCAGCCAUUCCACAAAGAAAGUAGAUGCAAGUACAAGCAUGCAAUGAAUUCCAAAUAAGAAUAGUUCAGGAACUUUUUCCUCGGAACCGCAAGGAGAUGCGCUGGUGCAUAGCUAGUUAAUUUCUCCAGACUAAACCGAAUUUUCUAUCUCUAACUUUGACCAAACUUCCCAAUAUAUUGGGGUGGAAAUAGAGACUUUGCCAAUUUUCGCUCAACCCAAAGUUGCUUCAUCGAUUUCAACCUACUCAUAAACAGAUUUUGACUAGGAGAAACUGGACAGCUUGACAGAGGGUACGCAGAAUAAAUUGCAGAAAACAGGCAUCUCUUUUGGAGAUCGAAUUCCUCAGUCUAUUAUGACUUUCUUAAUUAUUUGAAAAUCAGAUUGCAAAUCCUAAAGUGGCGCUUGUUCUUCAAACAAAAUCCACAACGUUAGACACUCCGUACCUUAAAUGGUUUGUCACACAACAGAACACCGCCCGGAGACGGCAAAUAUCUAAACCUCGACUUUUGACGACAUUCGCUAAACAACCAUAAUCACAGAUAAAGGCAUCAAUCGAGCACCAGCACUCAAGGAAUCACCAUGACUUUCUCUCUGCUUCAUUUAUAUAUCAAAUCAUCACUUUGCACACACCCUACCCGACCUCGCAAUCGUGGACAUGGAGACCGGAAGUCUCAAUCAGACGUGGGUAUGGGGAGACGAAUGGGAUAGGCGCAAGAUGACAAUUAGCGACAGAGCAUAUACAAGAAAAUGCAACCAAUGAGCCAAGUUGGAACAGCAUGAGCAGAAAUCGGGUGGACCAGGAACACCGACACUUGAAGAGCUUGAGAUAAGGAGGAAACGAGCCGUCGCAAUCGAAGCACGGAGGAGGAUGGUAGAAAAAGGACAAGAUCCACACCCAUCGAAAACAGAAAUGACCCAUUUCAAAAUUCGAAGUCAUUGUGAAAAGAACAAGAGAAACUAGAGAAAGCAGAUAAGGAGAAACAACGAAGUGCCCUGCAGAAAUUCUCAAUCUCGAGUCUCGAGUCCCGAGUCCCGAAGCAGAGUGUGGUUUUAUCGCGAAUUCAAGAAAAAGGGAAAGAAAGAAAGAAAGGAAGAAAGGAAGAAAGGAAAAAAAGAGAGGGGGCAAGCAGUAUACACUGACAGGACCGCACACAGCUCCAGAGAUCACGAGACGGAGAGGCAUUUGCGGAUGACUGAAAAUGCAUUCCACGGUAAGAAGAGGAAGAAAAGAGAGAAAGUACCAUGUCCCAGGAAACGAACGGAAGCUAAACUCGACAUUCCUCGCUCGAGAAAGCGAAGCAGCACCUGCCCGUCAGAGAUUCGGAGCUUCCGGUGGCGAAUGCCGCCGUUAGCGACGGCCACGCCGUCCCGGAGACGAAGCGGGGCGUGUCGGUGGCCGAACAACCGCGCCAACUGCGAAGCUCGCAGACAACCAGAAGCGAGAGAGAGAGAGAGAUGGGGCGUUGAGAACAGUGGGGCAGCAACAGCAGCAGCAGCAGCAGCAGCAGUAGUCCCUCGUAAUCGCCUCGCCUUUUCUGCGCUCCCAAACUCCAAAGCAGGAUCCCGAUGGAAUGUCAAAAAUGACCUAGAAAAAGUUCACACAGGCGCACUGCCUUUUCGGGCGCGACUGUGCGAGAAAGAGAUAGAGAGAGAGAGAGAGAGCUCCCGUGUGCUCGUGUGGCGGAGCUCUUUCAGCCGAGACCGAACCCUCUGUACCUUUGUUUUGUUCUUAUUCGACCCCCAAAAAACGGAAAAAAGAAAAAAAAAGUUUUGUUUUGUUUCGCCCUAUUUUUCUGUCGUGAAUCGCUACGAAAUGCGCCCGUGACAAUUUCUUCUUUAGGAAAAAUCAGAGGCAAACGCACGCGUGAACCCAAAAAAAAUAAUGAUGAUUAGCAAAAUAAAACGAGCGAAAUGGAUGGUUAUUUUCCUCCCUUUUGGCGAGGUAAGAAUGCCUGAUAUUUUGUCCUAUUUUCUCUCGACAUGAUUAGUCAUUUUAGCUUGCUCAAUUUUCUUUUUCUUUUUUUUCGAACUCUAAAACGAUUUUUUCGCAUUAGUGCAUUGCCACGAAAUGGUGAAAAGUUGAUAUCGCCUAUCAACUGCUCCGCUAACUUAUGGAGGUGGCGACGUGAGGAUAGACACCAAAUUUGUAAGUUGGCAUUAUAUGCAAUACUCGUGUACUAUUGUAUAGCGUUCUCAAAAAAUAAACUUAUACAUCAUGAUUUGUUUUUAUUCUUUUGUGCCGGCAUAGCUUGUUUCGUACACAAAGGCAUUUUGUGAAAUCGAUGACAGGUACAUGAAUAAAUAAAUUACUACCAUACUUUUUUUUGUAUUUAAAAUAAAAAGUUAAAUAAACGGCAAUUAGCUUGUCACGCACAGGUUUAUAUUCACACAUAAGAUUUUCCCAUGAACAAGGAGUGCAUAAGUUGAGUUUAUUUAAAGGGCAAAAAAUAUUUAAAAAAAAACUCUGAUCCAUUUAGCUUAAAUUUUUUCUAUGACACUAAAAGUUCCAAACUUGCACUUAUGUAAUGCAUAUUAUCUUAUGUCAAAGUUUUGUCAAUAAAAAUCAUUAAAAAUAUGUCUAUAUAAACAUCAUAAAGCAAAUAAUAUUGAUCCAUUAUUCACGUGAUAAUGACGUUAUUUUAGCUGAAAAAUCACGUAACGAAAUGUUAACGCAGGGUAACACGUCAAUGCAAGGAAAAUUUUAGGUAAAUAUAUCUCGGCAGACAUACUUUAAAGGUUCCUUGCCAUGAAAACUUUAUUUAAUUAAACCCAAGGGCAUUCUAGGAAUAUUCAAGAUCCAAUCGAAAAGUUAAAAAAGAAGGAAAAAGAUCAGAAUCGAAAAGUUAAAAAAAGAAGGAAAAAGAUCAGAAUUAAUAUCAUAUCGGGACGUCACAUCAUGGAGGCGCGGGGGGUAUGUUCCCGGGGGGCCCACAUCGCCAACCUAAUUUGCAGCGUUCUUUUUAUGGGAUGGGAUGGGGCGGGGUGUUAUCAACAAAGACUUUGACGUGAAAAGGUUUUCUCAGUAAUUUUAAUAAUUGCGGUGGUGGGGUCCGAGGUUCUUUUGAUUUGAUGAGGGCUAAGGUGGUGGUGGUGGCAGUGACGGUGGUGGGAUGGGGGCCCCGCUUGAGGGAGGAGAUUUCAUGUGACUUUCUUGCCCAUUUGGUCCGUGUGGUGAUGAUGGGGGAGUUGAGCUGCUGAGUUUGUGAGAUAAAAGAAUAAUGUAAUUAUGUAGCCCAGCGUUAUCAGGUGAUCCUUUUGUCUUUUUUGGUUGUCCGCCUCUCUUUUUCCGCGAAACAUGAAGCAUCGCAUGAUUAAUUAAUAAAAACAAUAUUAUGAUUAUUAUAGAUAUUAAUAUAACAAUUUAAAUAUUAUCGUGAACGAAUUUUUUUCGUAUAUAUACUUAUAAAAAUGACAAUCUUUUAAAAUUAUACGUUUUCCAUAAAAUGAAUAGAUGAAUUUUGUUACCAUCUAUCGCGGUGGCUUAGCUGGGUAGGCGCUAGACUUCCACCGAUGAGGUCUAGUGUUCGAAGCUCCUGCAACGCAAGUUGCAAGAAGGUUAGCUUUGAGCCCUUUGGCGACUUACCCGGUGGCACGUGUGUGGUGGCUAGCACGUGUCGCCCUCAGUGGUUUACCUCCGGCCGUCGGCCGUGCGAGGUUCCCUGGGUCAUAAAAAAAAAAAAAUAGAUGAAUUUUGUUACCAACCCCGUUGGUGGCAAAGAUGGUGGAGUUGCAUGCUGGCCACCUACAAAGCUAGAGUUCAACUCUUCAUCUCGUCAUUUGUGCGACUUGCGGCUUGUGGGAGUUGAGUUCCUGCGGAUCGCCUCGGGUUUACGCCGCCGACUACCGGUUGUACGGCGCUUUUCGGGUCACCAAAAAAAUAAAUAGAUGAAUUUUUUUUUUCUUGAGUCUAUCCAUGAUGAAUAGCUUGAGUCUGUUCAUGACAAUAGACUUAUUUGAAUAAUUUGGAAUCAUUAUUUGUAGGAUCGUUUUUUAAUAAAAAUAUAUUAAAAUCCCCGUGUAAAAAAAUUAUAUUAUAAAUUUAUUAGAUGUUUGAGGUCUAAAAAAUCAAAAUGCGAAAUGAAUUUAUAUUAAGCAAAAUGGUUAAAGUUUAUUCGGAUGGUAGGCAGUUUUUAGUGUGCCAACUUGUCUCUUUUGUGAAUGUUGUGGUAGGCUCAAUAAUUUGCGAAUGCACAGUCAACUAUUUGCUUUUUGGCAGGGUCUUUAGUCCAAUUAUUGACUUGCUGAUAUAGGGAAAGCCUAAUCAUAUGAUCUAGCUUAUGAAAGUUUCACUAAUGGACAUCGGAUUCCAUGGGCACAAAUUAUAUGAAAUUAAAGCAAAUGAAAGAGUCUAAAGUGAGUCCUGAAAAGAGCACACCCAUUUUCUUUUGGAUUAAUAGCCCUUUGCUAGGCUUCUUUUAGACUCGUGAAAAGUAGAAGCAUGCAAAAUGUGUUUCAAAAGUGGCGACCUAAAUUGAAUUGAAAAUAGGAAUGCAAGAUAACACGUUCAAAUCACAACAUCCCUUGCUCAGGGCCAUGUAGAACACGGAUGGAGUUUAAGCUGAUGAAUAUGGAUAUGACAGUUUGCUUGUAAUUGUGGAGAUAAUCAAUAUAAAAAGUCGGAUAUCACAUGUAACAUGAAAAGGGAUUCGAAUACAACAUACUUACAUAAAUCCACACCGAUCUCUUCUAACCCCUUCUUUCCCUUGCCAACUAUUCAUAUAAGAAAUCAUUUUCUACAAUCAUUUCUAACAAUCAUCUCUACCAAACACGGUGUAAUCUCGUCCAAAGCGUCAUAAUAGCCUCAUAUAAAAUAACCCAAGAGCUUCCCCCACGAAAUAAAUGUCUGAAGACUCUUCGAGGGAUCGCCAUGGCCCAUGAAUCCUAUGAAAAAGAUUAAAAAGGAAAUAUAAAAAGAUGCAAGCUUUUGAAACGCGCCCACGAGUACAUCAUGAUAUAAAAAAGCUACUGAUCUUCACUUUCAGUGUUUGAAAAGCCUCAAAAGGGGGAGGGCAAUGGGGGUAAAGGGAAACGUAAGGCGGAAAGGCAUGACCCGGCCAGCACCUGCGCACCAAACAAAAGGAGGCUCGAGCACGAGCAUGUCAUCAUUACAUGGCGGAUCAAAGAAGCACCCGAGUUUUAUUAUUUGCUAAUGAAUGAUUCAUCCACAGAUUCACAUAAUAAAGUUGACCUUGUCACGUGAUAUUGGUAUUUUAUUUGUAUAAGUGAAUUAUUAUUUACCUUUUUCCCCCCUUAACUUGGUCGGUGGCAAAAAGUGUUUUUAAUUCAGAUAUUUUUCUUUCCUUGGUACUUUCCUCCCUUUCAUUUUUAAAUGCGGGUAAAUAUACCUUCCCUAACAUUUGGGAGGGCUGCAUGGUAUUAUUGUUUUGCAAAUUUAGCGGCCCUUGAAAUUCGGGUGUUAGUUCGAGAAAAAACAUUUGACGCUUUUCAAAAAUAUAAAAAAUAUUGACAUAUUUUCGAAUUAAAAAAUAUCUUUUUCAUUUCCGUUAUCGAAGAAUAAAUAUCAGAAACUUACUAAGUAGAUUGUUUUCAGCCUUCAGAACAAACAAUAACAAAAUAAGAAAGCAACUCUAAUAGUGUACUGUGCAAGUCCUGAAAAUUAAAAAGAACAAAUUAGGUGCACCAGAAUUUGUCAUUAGGUGGAGUUUGAGAGGGCUUAUCAAUACAUUGGUUGCACUUUUCACUUGGUUCAUCAGGAAACCUCUCAUUGAGAUCACAAAUAAGGUCUUUUGGUAAAUAGAAAGGUUGUAUUUUCCUCCAUUUCUAAUUUGAGGAAAUUUUCUCUUAUCAUUGAUCUGGCUCCCCCAUAGGCUUGUCUAGGUCCGAAUCCAGUCAUUAAGGCUCAAAGAUUUUUUGUACAAGUUUGGAUAAUGACAUUAGUAAGAAAGCUCGGCAUCACCCGAGUGGGGUCCAAGUCUAGUCUAGUCUAAAGAUUUGUGUAUAACAAUUUCAUCACCGUAGUUUAGGCCCAACCUUAUGGCCUAGCCUAAUUCGACCCACUCAAUCAUGACCCUUAAUGAAUGGAAUUUCUAAAGAAAUUUUACAUCUAGGUAACCCCAAUUUAAUUUUGGAAUAAAUACACUUAAUAUCUCAAAACUUGUCACAAAAAGUGGACUUGAGAUUUAGAAUUUGCUAAAAAUAUAAUUAGUUCAUAAAACUUGUCAAAUUGGUAUAAUCAAUUCAUUUCAUGUAUUCCGUUCAACUUAGCUAACAAAAAAUGCCAACAUGGUUCUUUUUUAUUAUUUUCUCUAUCCUACGUGGCAGUGACGUGGAUAAAAUAACAUUGUUUUGGUACAAAUCUGAUUUAUAUCAAAUUAAAAAAAAUCUAAAUUAAAAGAAGGGGGUUAGAUACUAGGCGACUGAGGGCCGCAAGCCUCGUUGCUGCCAUCGCCCCACCAUCAUUGGGAACCCACCAAAACGACAUCUUUAUAGUCUUAUAAUUCAUAUUUUAGUCACGUUAUUACUGUGUAGGAGAGAGGAAAUAUCAAAAGACUAUACUAGCAUUUUCCGUUAACCAAGUUGAAUUGAGUUAAUUAAAGAACUCAAUUUCAUUAAUUUGACAAGUUUUGGAAGUGAAUUGAAACUUUUUAUAAGCUUUCAAAAACAAUUAUAUAUUUACGAUAAGUCUUAAGAUUUUCGAUACACAUGUCUGUUGAUUUUUUGAGGAUAAGAAAAACCUCUCUCCUCUCUCCUCUCUCUCUCUUCCCUCUCUCUCACACAACGCACAUCCUCAUCCUCCUUUGCCCUCUCUCUAUACACCCUCCUGAAAUUGCAUCGCCACCGCAUCUAAGCCGCCGCCUCCAUCACGCUUGAAUCAUCACAUUGCUGCAAUAUUGAGUUGUCGCCGACACAUUGUACAUGUGAAGAGUACAUAUUGAUGAGGUAUUUGGCUGAUCCAAAUCAUCCUCUCUAUCUCUCUCUAUGUGGGAAACAUUAUCCUAGGAAAAGAAAGGGAAGGUUCAAUCGCAACCAUCCCGUUUAGGAGUUAGAGGUUAGCAUAGGAGUACCACAACGGUUAUUAAAUGUCUAUCUGAGACAUAAUUAGUACUCUGAAACCUUGAUUUAGAGAAGUUUUAAAAGUUGAGAUUUCAGGAAAACACAAACACUUUACGUAGCCUAUUGGUGUGCUAUCAUGCAUAAAGAUCGUCUCAUGAGUGUACUACUAACUUCAAACUUGCAACGAUAGCUGUUUUUGUGAAACUUUAAAUCCCACAUUGAAUGGAUGAAGCCUUAUGAUGCUAUCCACAAGUGAGAUCCGUCUCUACAUGGUCACCAUCUCAUGAUCAUUUAGGAAAAUUUAUUUUAGGGGCGUGACCACAUAGAACGGACUAGGUGGUUACAAAUUGCAUUAGGGCAAGACCACCGACCACCUCUAGGAGAUGCAUGACUCGUGGAAAGACUAGACUCACAUCCGAUAUGAAGUGGGUGUAAGGUGAUUACUAGAGAGCAAGAUGGCUCGAACAAUUUGUGAUUUUUAACAUACUUCUAGAAUGGCAAGGGGCAAGAAAAGACAGUCGUCACACGCUGAAUAGAGGGAGUAUUGCCUGCAAUGCUUUGAAUGAGGGAGGAACUAAGACCCAUAUCGGGUAGGUUAAGUCUUGUAAUAUUAUAAUAGGUUAAGAGCUCUUUCAAAUCAUCUUUACUUUUAUAUAGUUAUCUAGAGUACUCACUUUGAGAGCUCGAUCCACCUAGAUCGGGCUUGAUGAUUAUAGUUUUCGUCGCUAAGCUACCAUGAUCGGAGCUGAUUCUCAAGCUAACGGUCAACGAGCACUCUUUAUGACAUGGUGCCUUUUCGAUAAAAUGUUGAAAUGAAUACUAUUGUCGCGUCAUUCAAAGCAACAUUAGAGUAGAAGUAUAGCGCCAAAAAAAAAAAAAGUUGACUCUGCAGGAACGUGGCACGUUCGCAAUUGGAGAAAGAAAAAACCUGUAGUUAGGAGGCAAAAGCAUUUGCUUUUGAUUUCAAAAGAUAAAGAAAAAGACGAGAUGACAGAAGAAAAAAUGAUCCUUCUCUUUUGGAGGUACCCGAGAAAAAAAAAAGGAUAAUAAAGAGGUAUCGUCGUCCUCAUUUGUCUUUGUUGAUUCGGACAUGUAUAGAAUGUGAACAGCAAGAUAGAACUCUUAUGUAAAGAUAUUAUUGGGGCACCGUUCAUGAUAGGGUCAAUUAUGCAAGGAGUACAAUAAUUGAGACAAUCGGAUCAUCAUCCAUGAUCUGCCCUUGAAUGAUCACUAUCGGCAUCUCUACGCCGGCAAGAGACCUAACAUUGCGAUUCGGAUCAUCGCGAUUCGGUUGCAAAAAGUGGUGAUUAUUUUAAAGGUGGAUAUCGGCUUAUGAAUCACUUAAAAUGACUUUUUCCUUCUAAGGCAAGACUUCAAAUGUCACGAAAUUCCCCUACUCAAGAAAUUAACAUACUUAUUAGUAUUGUAGGCAUUACUCUCCCUAUUCAACACGUGACUCGAUUUAUUUAUAUCCUUUUAACCAUUCUAAAAACCUAUCAAGAGUCGCAUCUUAUUUAAGCUCUCUUACCGUAAUAAUCAUUUCUUGCCCUCAUCGGAUCAUGAUAUAAGUUUAGUGUCUCUUUAAAUUAUAUAUCCAUGAACGGGGAAGAAGAUUGUUUAGCCAUUUUUCUUAAUGAAAAUAAUUUCUUUUACUUUAAAAUAAUUUAUCAUGCUUUAAAAUUUCUAAUGAUAAAAGGUGUCACAUCAACGUGUCACGUUGUCGUCAUUAGCUCAUAAGCUAAGAUCUUUUGGAUUGAGAGCGAUGGCCAUUUUAGUACAAGUAUAUGAUUUUUAUAAAUAAGAACAUAUCCAUUACCAGCAAUCUUUUAUUCUAAUUAUUACUUAUCCUCCAUUCAAUCCAAUGGCGUUUUGACUUGCACUUUAAUUCAUUUGCAAAAUUAAUAAAGCAUAUAUCAUGAAGUUGAAAUUUGCUCAUUAAAGUAAUUUUUUUUUCGUCACGUGUACAUAUACAAAACAUGACCUUUUCGAUAAUUGUCUCUAGGCAUAUUGUUAAGCAUAUUUUAUAAUUCUCAAUUUUAAAGUAAUGAUCUUAUCUAACACAGAUAAUGAACAAAUUCAAAGUUAAUCCUUUUUAAUUUAAUUACUUAAAAAAGCAGACUCUUUCGAGGAGAAUGUCUCGGCGUGUAUUUUCUUCGUUUUACGUGAUUCGCCUUCGUUAUCAUUUUUCCGACGGCAUCCACUUUUGUCAUGUCAUUGUGAUGACCAACAUAUUUUGGAAAGGGGGGGGGGGAGGGAUACAGGGAGUGAGGGACAUAUCAAUUUGUCUUUUACGGCUAAAUCUUGGAAAAAAAAAGAGCAACUUUCCGGCCAGAAUAAAGUGCUGAGACUAUUUUAUUUUUCUGGGUCGAAAGUAUCGUGACUAUUCAAUGGACCUAAAAAAUUCAUAAUUUCUAUUUAUUGAAAGGACAAAAAAGAACACUUUAAUAUUUGAGGAAAAUAACAUAAAUGAUCAUUGCGCUAUAGCCCAAUGUGUGGUGUAGUUUAUGAACUUUUAAUUAAUUCAAUAUGAUCCAUUAACUUUAGCUCAAUAUGCAAUAUAGUUUUCGAAAUUUCAAUUUAUUCAAUAUGGUUCAUAAAUUUUUGGUAUAUGUAUAAUUUAGUCCAAUAUCACAUCACACACUGGAUCAAAGUUCAAGGAUUAUUUGUGUCAUUAUCCUUAAAUUUUUUGGUGCUUUGUACAAUUUUUUGACUAAUACAUAUCGUAUUCAAUUUCAAAUAUAUGACUUGACUAAUGCUCAUUUUUCAUGUAUUAAUCGUGCGAGACAAGUCGUUCAUAUCUUGAGAGGAUAAAAUGUUUAGAACACCUUUAAUUUGGUGAUUUUUCCUCUUGAUUGCCUGUGCAUUCAUAUUUUGUCCACUCACAUGAUUAGGGAUUUAGGAGGAUAGUUGCGCAAUGAGCGUGUGAAAGUGAGGAAAGAAACGUGAGAAAGUGAUAACAGAAUGCAGAAGAAAUAAUCUUACGUAAUAAUUACAGUACGAGAUUGUGAUAGUGUGGUAAAAUUGACCAAUCAUUAUUAUUUAUGUGCUGUGAGUCUAAUAUUUUUUCACUUUGGAUGGACUUGUUAUAUCAUGUACUACCGUCACCAGAGUUGAUAGAUAAUGGCGUGAUUGACACCAAAAACAUCUCUCCCAUAUGCAUGGAAUGGGAAGAAGUAAUGAUAACCAAUCGAAAUUAUCAAUGUUGCCACGAUGGUGCAAUGGGAAAACUGAGGUUUUGUUAAAAUUUAAGAAAAAUAAUCGCUAGCAACUGUUUCAGAUUAAUAAAAGGAUAAUUCGAACAGGAAAUUAGGAUCACGAUUUAGUAGAAAAUGGCCUCUCACAACAGGGAUUAAAAAGCCCAUUGCUAGACCGUCAUUGGCCCACUAGCAUUACUCCUGUUAGCAGAAUGACUAUAUAUUUUUUUUAGGAAUCGAAAAAUUCCUUUAAUCGCCUAAUUUAAUUGGUCGGACGAUAAACAUGAGCCGAGAUUUAUCGUAGAAUCAAUUAAUUCGGAAAAACCGAUUGGAUGAAUUCUUUUUAAUAAAAAAAUGGAGGAAGACAAGGACCAUGGUGAGAGACGAUUCGUUCCGUCGAUGAUUCGGCGGACAUGACCAAUCGUGGUCCGGCCCAUUUCAACUGACCGACGAAAUCCUGGACGAGGCCCGGUCCGCAGUUUCCAGAUCGAUCCGACCGGGUUCGCUAUUUACGGUCGAGACAGGAAAGGCCGCGAAGGUGCGAGAAUGCUCCUGUCUUUCCUAUUUAACCCCCGACUUCUCCUUUCCCAAUCCUCAUCAUCGUCUGCCGAUAGCAGUUCUAGUGUAGUUCAAGCAUUCUCUCCAGCACUUUCUCGGCUUCAGUCUCGCGCGUUCGCCGGUGAUCAUCCCCGACGGCCAUGUCGCUCGUCCCGAGCUGGUUCGGCGGCCGCCGCAGCAACGUCUUCGACCCUUUCUCCCUCGACGUCUGGGACCCCUUCAGGGACUUUCCCUUCCCUUCCUCCUCCCUCACCGCCGCUAACUUCCCCCAGACGUUCCGGGAGAACGCCGCCUUCGUGAACACGAGGAUCGACUGGAAGGAGACCCCGGAGGCCCACGUGUUCCGGGCGGAUCUCCCCGGGCUCAAGAAGGAGGAGGUCAAGGUGGAGAUCGAGGAGGAUCGGGUGCUCCAGAUCAGCGGCGAGCGGAACAUGGAGAAGGAGGACAAGAACGACACCUGGCACCGGAUGGAGAGGAGCAGCGGCAAGUUCAUGAGGAGGUUCAGGCUGCCGGAGAACGCGAGGAUGGAUCAGGUGAAGGCCUCGAUGGAGAACGGGGUGCUGACUGUCACUGUUCCCAAGGUGGAGGAGAAGAAGCCCGAGGUCAAGGCCAUCGAGAUCUCCGGUUGAGAGGUGGUGAAUCUACGGUCGGCGCUGCGACCUGUGUAUACAUAUGCAUAUAGAGUGCCUGUGUGUGCCGUCUGCUGUGUGGCUUUUGCGUGUCCUGAGUUGGGAGUCGCGGUCUAUGGCGAUGUCUGAUAUGGCAAUGUUAAAUAACUACAGUGACUCUCUACUUGUAAUGAGAUCUGAGAUAUUAUGUAAUAUAUAGUAACUUCUACUUUUUGUGAUAUCGGUUCCUCAAAUUCUUUCGGUUUUUUCACCUUUCCAUUUUCCUAUUGCACUGAAUUUGCCUACUACUGCUUUGUUCCAAGGGAGUUCAAUUGGUUCGUUCUUUUUGCAACGAUUAAUUCAAUUUGUUGGAAGGAUUCCUCGGAUGUGCAAGUGCUGUACUCGUUGCGAUCAUUUUUAGAAUUGGGUUUGCGGUACCCACAAAACAUUGUACUCAUGAGCUCGGCGCGAGCUGCAGGGUGUCAGAUAACAGGAGCAGUUAUCCCAACAAGCUUUUCAAUUUCUGCAUGAUCAUCAUCGGAUCAGAGAUCGAGUUCUCUAGUUCUUCUAUUGUAGUGUGUGAACAAGCACCUUUCUUGAUGCUCAAGCUCGACUUACUGUCUUGUCUUUGAAAGCUGUGUCUCUUAGCCUCAUCUCUUUCCCUUCCUCCCCCAUCAACCAUCAGUCUUCCUUGCUGCUUUUGACAUAUUAUAUAUUAAAAAUAUUUUUAUAUAUAAAUACAUAAAUGAAUAAAUAAUAAUAAUAAAAAGAACAUAAAAUUAUUUUAUUUUAAAAAUAUUAAUUCAAUAUUAUUUAUUAUUUUAAUUUGAUAAAUUCAAUUAUAUUCUAUUGCAAUAAUUCAUAAAAUUUGGAAGGAAAAAAAAGUAAGAGAAAAUCUCAAAUAAGAAUACAAAGUUUUGUUCAAAAAAAAAAAAAAAAAAUAAGAAUACAAAGUGAGUUUAUUUUUUCAAAUAAAAUUUUAAAGUGACAUUUGUUCCAAAUAAAGAUCCAAAGUGGCUAACAAGUCUCAAAUAAGGAUCUGAAUUUGUCAUUCGGUGAAAAUGUUUACCGGCUAGCGAGUGUGUGACAUUUUCGGUGGCCGAAAUAUGAGCAAUUUUGUCUAAAAAAAAUAUAGAUAGAAAUUAACAAAUCAUAAAAACAAAACUCCACAAACUCUUCACGUUCUUUCGACCUAAAAAAAACUCCACAUUCUCAUGUUUUUCUUCUUUUGCUCUUCAUCUUCUCUGUUCUUUGUCCUCUCUCGUUUGGAGCACCGAAAUUUUCUGUUAAUGGAACACGAAUUGAAACACAACAAAAAAACCCCUACCUUCGUUUCUUUACAUAUUCUUCUUUUGUUUUUAGUCUUCGUUUCAACGAAAAAGACAAAUCUCGAGUAAGCCAAGGAUCUUGCUCCAUUAACAGAGAAUUUGGCUUCUCCAAACGAGAGGGGACAAAGAACAUAACGUAAAAGAUGAGGAGUAGAAGAAGAAGAACGUAAAGAGUAUGGGGGUUUUGUUUUUAAGUUUUGUUAAUUUCUAUCUAUAUUUUUUUUGGACAAAAUUGCCCGGAAAUGUCAUAUGCUCAUCGGCCGGUGAACAUUUUGGCCGGCCGGUAGGUUUAGGUUUUUAUUUGAGACUUAUUAGCCACUUCAGGUCAUUAUUUGGAAUAACAAUUAUUUCGGGUCAUUAAUUGAGAUUUCCCAAAAAGUAAUUCAAGUUUUAGUAUUAAAUUUAGGGAUAUAUGCGGUAUAAGUUUUAAAAUUUAUCGUGAAAGUAUAAUUGAAUUUUAAAAUUGAUCAAAUUGGUACAAUCAAGUCUUUUUGUUGAUAUCGUCAAUUUGUUUAACAAAAAAUCUUGAAGAAGAAUUUUUAAAUUAAUUUAUUUAUCUUAUGUGGUAUUUUUUAUUAUUUUUUCUUUAAAUCUUAUUUAAAGAAUAGUAAUUAUUUUUAUUAAAAAAGCUAAAAUAAUUCUUAACCUGAAAAAAAAAAGGUAGGUUAGCUGCUUGGUUGGAUAGGCGACUGCCACCGUGGAGGGGGUCGGCGAGAUCGGUGGCCCUAGGUGAUGGUGGGUGGCAACUUGUGGUGGAGUUGGGGGGCCUUGCAAGGCCUCGCCGGCCUCGAGCGAGGGCAUGGCAUCGCCCAGAUUUGGGCGAGCCUCACUCGGGCCUCUAAGGCAUCGCUUAGAUCUAGGCGAGCCUUGCUGGCCCUUGCUUGAUUGGUGAUGGCUUCGCUUGGGCUGGCGAGAUGGCCCACCCGCCACUUAGGGCCAGUACUUCGAUAGUGGUAGCGGCGCCAAUCUACCCCUUUUUUUUAUAUAUUUAUUAUUUGAUCUCUCAAGUAUUGAAAAAUUUUAAAAUUGACCCCAUGCGUAUUAGAAUUCCGGAUUUGCAUAUUGGAGCUUGUCAGGGAGAGUUGACCACAGUUGGAUUUUUCCAAACUCAUUGAUCGCAUGUUGGAGCGUAGGACAUCACACAAAGGCUUUUGGAAAGUGUCGCUACUUCUUAGAUUCCACCUGAGUCCAAAAGCCUGGAAACUUCCUCCUGCAGAGCCCAUCUCACUACGCGACCAGUUUCUCUGAUUGUCUCUUUGAACCCUUCCGGUAACAGCUCGAAUCCACUCUGAGCCUCUGACCAUGCCAGUCCGACCAUCCACAAGAACGUUGCUGUUCGCCAGCCCCCAGCCGUUUCUGCAAACUCUACCUGAGCCAUUUUGAAGCCAAGAUUCCUAAGCUCACACGUGUAACUGAAUAUUUGCUUGCUUAUCAAGCCCCAAGAGGCAACCGGUUUCUUCCCCUAAUAUGCUGGUUGUGUUGGAGUCAACGCCUAAUAUGAAAAUAAGAUAAGUUCUAGUUGGACUUUGCCUCUGAUGUGCCGACUUAUUCCAGUGAGAAUGCUGGAUAUUCAAAAGCGGUGAGUGAAACCAAAAGUGAAGAACUCUUGGUCAAAAAGCAGAGGAACCGCCUCUGUCUCUCUGUCUGUCUAGAUUUGUCUCUUGUCCUCCAGAAGCCGCAAGUUGCUAGAGAAGAAAGUCAAAAGAAAAGUUGCAGCCCACAAUUGUUGACUCCUCAGCCAAGAAGAAAAUGAAAGUCCAUCAUGCAUGAAGUCUGGACGUGAGGCCGUGAAGUUUGAGCCUUCAAGUAAGGCUUGGCAGUGCCAACGUAAGGUAGGCCUCACAAGUCGAGAGAAGAAGAGAUUAAGAGAGAAAGAGAGUCUCGUCAGAGAGAAAGCAAGGUGUGAGCUUCACGCCAGAGAGGGCCUCAAGUCACCAGGUGCAAAGUACAUCAACGAAUCAUGAAUCACGCAAGAGAUUUUAUUGUUGCUCCUUCCUCUGCCAUCAUAUCUGAGAAUACUUGGUGGAGAGGUCCUUCACAGUUGGUGUUGAGUCUUGCUGCAAGAGCUAAGGGAACUCAGAGGAGAGGUCAUCCUUUGGUAAGCAGUGGGGAAAUAGAUAGGAAGAUAUAAUUGGGGAUACUGCACGGACCGGGAUGAUCGAAUUGAGUGUGACCUAUUCCAAUGGGGAAGCACUUGGAAUGCAGGACUGACCUCAAUUGAGCAUCGGGGUUAUGUGCCCUUGAAAGGAACAUCAGGACUUGCACCUAUCUACGAUUGCGUCUCCGUCCUCGUUCCUCCAUUGCUCUCAUCUGACCACAACCAGAGCCUGGGUCCUGGAUCAUUUGAGCAUACGAAAAGUAUUAUAUUCGGUACUGCGUCGAUUGCAUGUUAAGAAAAAUAAAGGAGACUUCUCUAGUUAUUUCGUGUUUCUUGCCUGGAUGGUAAAAUUGAAAGGGGCAUACAAAUCGAUUACAUCAUUGAAAGGUGACGGGAUUAUGGGAGAGCGACUUUCGUACUAUGAGACAUGUGGAGGAAACAAAACUACAUGAGAAUACCUGAAAUUUUGUUACCUUUCAUAUCUGGAUUUGCUCGUUCUUAUGUUAAAGCCAGCAGAGAUAAUUCCUCCUCUGGCAAGCUAGCUUCUUUCACCGAGGACUUCUGGUUAAUUUGACUUCCAUCCCAAAACUUGGUCUUAUCUCUUUGCAGAUUUUCACUAUUCCACUGGAGGCGACUCCUCCUAUCUGAUGGCAUUGAAAUCCACUGCUACCGACGUCACCAUAAGCUCGUUAUUGAUCCGAAAUGAAGUGAUUAUAACUCGGUUUUAACAUGAGAGUGCUUGAACCUUCUUAAAAAAAUUCAAAUCAAAGAAUUUUUUGGGAAUCCUACAACCAUAUUAGCCUAACAGAAAAAUCGUCUUGGAGCAGAGUCACGUACACAUAUGUAUUGUAGCCGACACGCACAACCUUAGGCGAGCUGAUAGAGCUUGUCUAUCCAAGAAAGCUAGAGAAAGCAUGACUUAGAAGCACAAGAGCUUCAAAGUCUGCAUUAUUUCAGAUAACUAGCUAUUUCUCGAGACAACUCAAGUGUAUCAAAGAAAUAUAAAGCUCCAUGAUUCAGUUGCUGUGAAAAUCGAAUUGAUCUGGAGGAUUCUCAUAUUCUUUUUUUUAUGAGAUGUGAAAUGAAAAACCUUGUCGUUAAGAUAAAGACCAAUUUUUAUGCUACUACUUCUUUCUUUUGUCAAAUGACAUGAGUGGUCUCUCGUGAUUGACUUAAGAAAGAAGGUUCAUCCUCAAAAUGUUGUCCCUGCAACAACAACAAAAACAACCGAGUCUCAUUCUGCUAAGUGAGGUCCAUCGUAUGAAUCCUAUUAUGCCAUUGCAUUUUAUCCUUUGUUAGAUUAUCUGUGAAAUAUAGAUAGUACCCUACUUAUCGUUGGGUUAGUGAUAUCUUUCAUUGUCAUUUCCUUCCACAUCUUUUUCUGGUUUCUCUUGUCCCUUUUAACAAUGGAUCCAAUCUUUAAUCUCACAUAGCGUCGUAGGGCACUUGAAAGCUUUCCUUCAACAUUACCAAACCAUCUUAAAUGGCCUUCCUCAUCUCAAAAUGCCUUUGAGAUGUUAUCUGUAGAAUGGUUAUGGUGAAAUCGACUUAUUACUUUUAUCUGCCUAUUAUCCUAUCUAAUUUCAAAUGUGUUAUGCUUUUGAUUUUGAUUGACUUGUUUUACUACGCGUUAUUACCACGUUAUGUAACCAAUAAUGACACAACUGUCACAUAAAACAUCUUCUCCACAUGUAAGGGAUGGGAAGAAGUAAUGAUAAUCAAUUGAAGAAUGAAAUUGUGGAUAGUGCAAUGGGAAAAAUGAGGUUCGGGUAAAGAUUAAUAUCAAUAACAAUCAUUAUCAAACUCUUUCCAUGAGUAAAAUAAUAUUUGGGAGAGAAAAAAAAUCGUUGGAACUACCAUGAUAUAAACAAUGACAUCUCACAACAAGGUUAUGUAACCAAUAAUGACGCGACCAUUACAUAAAACAUCAUCUCCACAUGCAAGGGAUGGGAAGAAGUAAUGAUAAUCAAUUGAAAUGAUUAAUAAGAAUGAAAUUGUGGAUAGUGCAAUGGGAAAAAUGAGGUCCAGGUAAAGUUUAAUAUCAAUAACAAUUAUUAUCAAACUCUUUUCACGAGAAAAAAGAUUAUUUGAGAGAUGGAAAAAAUUGUUGGAACUAUCAUAAUAUAAAGAAUGACAUCUCACAAUAGGGAUUAAGUAUGCGCAUUUGUUUCAACAUUUCAAAGGGUCCUCCAAAAGCUUUUGGGACGAAAUUGUUCCCUGAGCCGCAAGAGGUUCCAUGAUCUAGGCGCUUGCUCGACCUCUUCGAGGCUGCCAAACGAUUCGCUUUCCAGGCCUGCUUCCAAGAUAAUAUAUUUCCAUUCUCCAGUGGCCAUACCCCAUGGUUUUUCGUUUUUUUACCUUCAAAGCUACUUUGAAAAAUGCCCCAACCAAACCUUAUCUGCUCAAAGCAAAUAAUAGGCUUUGCGUCUUAAAGACACUCUCUCGAGAAUCUUCCAAAUGAACCCUAAAAACCCCAUUGCUAUGAGGUCAUUGGCCCAGUAUCUCCGUAUUAGCAGAAUGGCUAUAGUUUUGCUUUGGGAGAAGCUCCUCGAACCGCAUCUUUUGAUUAGCGGAAAAUAAACGCGAGCUGUAAUCAUGAUUUGGGAUCCAAUUAAAUUUAUUGGCUGGACGAAAUUUUAUUUAAUCAAUAAUAGAGGAAAUUAAGGGCGAUAACAAAAUAGAAAUUCAGAAUUCGUUUUAUCGUCUCAUGGGACGAGUUCGAGUUUUUUCUUUCCCUUACUGAAAAGAUCCUGACGAGGCCCAGUCCGAGGUUUCCAGAUGGACGGACCGGAUUCGCCAAAUCACUGGAACGUUCGUCCUAAAGACCGCGGGGGUACGAGAAUGCUCCUCCGUUUCCUAUUUAACACCCGACGCCACCACUUCCAAACCAUAUCGUCUGACGAUAGCAAUUCCUGUCUUAGUCCGAGCAUUCUGUCAAACGUUUCGUCGGCUCAAUCUCAUAUAUUCGCCGGUAAUCCCACAGCCAUGUCGCUCAUCCCAAGCUGGUUCGGCGGCCGCCGCAGCAACGUCUUCGACCCUUUCUCCCUCGACCUCUGGGAACCCUUCAAGGACUUCCCUUUCCCUUCCUCCUCCCUUUCCGCCUCUGAUUUCCCCCAGGCGUUCCGGGAGAACACUGCUUUCGUGAACACGAGGAUCGACUGGAAGGAGACCCCGGAAGCCCACGUGUUCAAGGCGGAUCUCCCCGGGCUCAAGAAGGAGGAGGUCAAGGUGGAGAUCGAGGACGAUCGGGUGCGCCAGAUAAGCGGCGAGAGGAACGUGGAGAAGGAGGACAAGAACGACACGUGGCACCGGGUGGAGAGGAGCAGCGGGAAAUUCAUGAGGAAGUUCAGGUUGCCCGAGAACGCGAGGAUGGAUCAGGUGAAGGCGUCGAUGGAGAACGGGGUGCUCACCGUGACUGUUCCCAAGGUGGAGGAGAAGAAGCCGGAGGUCAAGGCCAUCGAGAUCUCUGGUUGAGAGAUGGUGAAUCUGCGGCUGGCGCGACAACUUGUGUAUACACGUACACAGAGUGAGUGUCUGCGUGUGCUGUCUGCUGUGUGGCUUUCGCAUGUCCUGAGUUGGCCUGAGUUGGGAGUCUCGGUCCUCGUCUUUGAUAUGGCGGUGUAAUAGGUUGGAAAUAUGGCGAUGUGACAUAACUAUAGUAACCUGUUUUAUGUGAUAUCGGUUCCUCAAAAUCUUUCGGUUUUCUCGCCUUUCGCUUCCCCAUUCAGCACCGAAUUACGGCCUUGUCCCAAGGGACUUAAUUUAGUUCUUUUUUGGGAUGGUUAAUUCAUUCUCUUGGAAGAAUUCCUGUGAAGUGCAAGUGUUGUACUCGCAGGUUGUGAUCAUUUGUUUUUUUUUUUUUUUUCAAUUGGGUUUGGGGGUACCUGCAAAUUGCAUCGAGAGAAGCUGACAACUUUCGGGAUGAAACGAGGCUUAGAACCAUGAUUCUCCUUUUGAGCUCAGCGCGAGCUGCAGGGUUUCUUAUGCUGCAUUGUAUUGGGUUUGUCAGAUAACAUGACUAGAUAUCCCAACAAGUUUUUUAUUUCCGCUUGAUCGUCAUCAAAUCAGAGAUAACAAGAUCAGAUAUCCUUUCCUGAUGCUUAGCUCGAUUUCGUCUUUGAAAGCUCCGGGUUUCAUCCUCAUCUCUUCCCCAUCAACCAUGAGUCUCCUCACCGCUUGCUCCAUCUCUCUCUGGUUUAGAUCACCCUCCAACUCCAAUCCCACCAUUCAAACGUGGCACGGGUACCCUGCCUUCACAUUCUGGUCCCUACGGUUGGUGUAUCGUUGGGACUCCUUAGGAAAUAAUUUCCAAGGAACUAGUUCCAUCUGCAAAAGGUCCAAAAGCCUCCCGAGUUACGUGUGCUAAAACUUGCACCUCAUGAGCCCAUCUCGUAACACGGCCAAUUUUUGUUGGCUUUUUUGGACCCUUGCGCUAACAGCUCGAUCCACUCUGAGCCUCUGACUGAGCGAGGUCGGACCAGCCGGAAGAAUGCCACUCUUUGCCAGCCCCCAAGCCGUUUCUGCAAACUCUCCCUGAUCUAUUUUGAAGCCAAGCUUUCCUAAGCUCACAAGUAUAACUGAAUUAUGUGCUUGCUUAUCAAGCCACAAGAGGCAACUGGUUUCUUCCCUCUAUUAUACUGGUUGGCAAAGCCGGAGCAACUUUGUGCAGCGAGCCUGGUGAAAAAAAUGGCGCUCGUUAUUGUCUAUGGAGUUGGUCCGGUAACUGUUUCUCCAGGCAGUCCACUGUUCCAGAAAAUGCCUGAAGAUGCUCUGUUGUUAAUCAGGAUGGCUGCUAACUUCAUCAUGGGUUCUAAAUCGCCUGGUGAUACAAGUCCAUGCAUCUCGUGGGAUAAGCGCCUGGAAUAGUCUCAAUCGAUGUUGGACCUAAAGAGUCAAGGUGCUGCAGCUUAGCAUGUAUUGGUUCUACGACUUCAUAGUCUGAUAGAAAACAUAAAAACUUAUCCAAGAUUUGAAUAUUCCAGCAAGUCAAAAGAGAGAUACAACUUUUAUUCGAAUUUGAUACACUGUAGACUGCUUUCUUCCUUCCUAGUUGGAUUGCUCGACAUGAAUACGAGAGAAUAUGAUAUUAUAUGCAGUUUCAGCACGUGUGGUACUGUUGACUUCAAUUACAUGCCUCCUCUGUCCUCUGACUAAAGGAAGAGGUAAUGACUGGUUUAGACGGUGGGGCAACGGCUAUUGGAGCGUUUUACCUUCUGGAAACUGAGUCGCCCUAAAGACUUGGUAUGCUUACCUUUUCUUUGCAGCAAGAGCAUUUUACGAAAACACAGAGAGCCCCGUUAAAGUACUGCUUAAUGAGUAGUAGACGAUGAAAAUUGCAAGCCAAACUCAAAAUAUGUCUACAUGGACGAAUGAUGCAAGCUGUUGAGCGCAAUUCCUAUUUGAGUCACGCUGAUUAAUUGACUCUCUCUUUAGAUUGGCCAAGCAGUUUCUUUAAAUCUUGAAGAGACCCUCGCAGUGCUUUGGGAUAGCAAACAUAAUCAAGUCAGGAGCCUUUCCAGUUUAGUAGAGUACGACCAAAGAGAGCGCAUUCUUAACAUCCAAUCAGUACUGUGUGAUUGUUACUCUUGAUUUCUAGUGAAAUUCCUAUCGAGCUCCAUCACUGAGGUAAAGAAGGGUUUACUGCAAGUAUCAUUAUCUUAGAGUUUGUUGUGUAUGUUGAUAUCCGAGGGUUAAAGAUACCUUUUCAAGGAAAAUAACUUUUCUUUUGGAGCCAAGGGGGUUCAGAGAAAACCAGCAGAGUGCCCUACUACAAGAGCGCAAAGCAAUGCUAGGAAGUUCUAUAUGAUGAGCUGCCACCUAGCAAAGUACAUCAAUUCAAUCUUUUCCAGUUAAUUUUGGUCAAAUUUUGUUGACUAAAUAUCGAUCGGUUGACGUGAUACGAUCGACGCUGACGUGGAUAAUUUUUAAUAAUAUUUUAAUUUUUUUGGAUUUGAAUUUUACUUAAUUUUUCUUUUUCUUUUUUUUCAUUUUUUUUUCUUCUUCUCCUUCCUCUAGUCAAUCGUCAGACCUUUGGCAAUUGGCCAUCGGCAAGGCUUGAGCCCUCGCCAGAGGCUGUGAGGGCGAUCGACAAUCAGCCAGAGAAGACAGCUGGCGAGGUUGAGGAGGAAGGAGGGGCACAAAGAAAAAAGAAGAAAAAAGAAAAGGAAAAAAGAAAAAGAAAAAGAAAAAGAAAAAAAAGAAAAAAGAAAAGAAAAGAAAAAGGAAAAAAAUAUUAAAAUAUUAAAAUAUUAAAAUAUUAAAAUAUUAAAAUAUUAAAAUAUUAAAAUAUUAAAAUAUUAUUAAAAGUUGUUAACGUCAGCGUCAAUCGUGUCAUAUCCAAUGCUUAGUCAGCAAAAUCCGGCUAAAAUUAAUUGGAAAUUAUCGAAUUAACACAAAAUAAAAAUAUUUAAGACUAAAUUGGUAUUUAUAAAAUAUUUAGAAUUAAAUUAGCAUAAAUAUAAAAUGUUUAGGAUUUCUUGGACACUUUUCCCCCAAUAAACUUGAUUUAUAUUCAUGAUUUAGGAUUCAUUGAAUGUAAUUAGACAAAAUCUUAUUUAAUCAAGAAUAGAGGAAAUUAAGGGCGAUUACAAAAUAGAAAUAGAAAUCGUCAUUGUCGUAAUGUGACGGACCAGGUGUUUCCAGAUGGACCUACGGGAUUCGCCAUUUCACUUGAACGUUCGUCCGUCCGUCCGUUCGAGCGGGACUGGAAAGACCGCGAAGGUACUAGAAUGAUCCUCUCUUUCCUAUUUAACUCCACGACUUGUCUUCUAAGCUCCAUCGUCGAACGGUAGCAAUUCUCAUCAUCUUCCUUAAGCAUUCCAUCGAACACUUUCUCCGCUCGGUCUCGCAUUUUCACCGGUAAACCCAACAACCAUGUCGCUCAUCCCAAGCUGGUUCGGCGGCCGCCGCAGCAACGUCUUCGACCCUUUCUCCCUCGACCUCUGGGACCCCUUCAAGGACUUCCCUUUCCCUUCCUCCUCCCUCUCCGCCUCUAAUUUCCCUCAAACUGUCCGGGAAAAUACUGCUUUUGUGAACACGAGGAUCGACUGGAGGGAGACCCCGGAGGCCCACGUGUUCAAGGCGGAUCUCCCCGGGCUCAAGAAGGAGGAAGUCAAGGUGGAGAUCGAGGACGAUCGGGUGCUCCAGAUAAGCGGCGAGAGGAACGUGGAGAAGGAGGACAAGAACGACACGUGGCACCGGGUGGAGAGGAGCAGCGGGAAAUUCAUGAGGAGGUUCAGGCUGCCGGAGAACGCGAGGAUGGAUCAGGUGAAGGCCUCGAUGGAGAAUGGGGUGCUCACCAUCACUGUUCCCAAGGUGGAGGAGAAGAAGCCUGAGGUCAAGGCCAUCGAGAUCUCCGGUUGAGAGUCGGUGAAUCUAUGGUCCUCGUUACGACUUGUGUCUAUAUAUAGAGCAAGUAUGCUGUGCUAUGUGAGGGUUGGGAGGCUCGGUCCCAUGGUGUCUGAUAUAGCGAUAUGUUGUCCGCCGAUGACUCUUUAGUUGUAAUGAAAUUCGAAGUUACUAUUUUCUAACUUCUGUUUGAGGUGAUAUUGGUUGCUCAAAAGUCUUUUGAUUGUGUUUUGUUCGUGGGACGUUCCUUAUUUUUAUUUACAUACUGCUUCCGGGAGUUCAAUUAGUUUAAUUAUUUUUGGAUGAUUAAUUCAAUUUCUGGGAAGGAUACCUCCAAAGUGCAGGAUGGACUUUGCACAUCGUGAUCGUUUUUUCAGUUGGGUUUGGAGGUACCGGCAAUAUGGAGAAGCUGAUAAGUUUGGGAUGAAAACAAGCUAGAAACCACAUUACUCCUUUGGACUCAGAGCAAGGUUUGGGGUUCCUUCUGCUGCAUUGUAUCAAAUUUGUCAGGUAACAGGAUAAAAUAUUUGAUAUGGCCUUCAAUUUCUGUUCCAUCAUCAUCAGAUCAGAGAAAAAUGAUCAGAUUCACUGGUUCCUAUAUUGAGGCGUGCGAAGUAUCGCCUUUUCCGAUGCUCAUGUUGAUUUGGUCUUUGAAAGCCGCGGCUCUCAGCCUUAUCUCUGUCCCUUCCUUGCCAACCGUCAGCCUCCUCACAGCUUGCUCCAUCUCUUUCUGGUCUAGACCACACUCUAACUCCAAUCCCACCAUCCGAACGUGGCGCGAGUACCUCACCUUAGCAUUCUGGUCCCUGAAGCACGGUGGGCAUAUCAUUGGGACUCCUUUGGAAAUGAUUUCCAAGGUCGAAUUCCAUCUGCAAUGGGUCCAAAAGCUUCCUGUGGCACGGUGUGCUAAAACUUCCUCUAGAGCCCAUCUCGCAACACGGCCAGUUUCUUCGUUGGCUUCUUCGAACCCUUCUGGUAAUAGCUCGAUCCACUCUAAGCCUCUGUCUGAGCCAGGCCGGAUUAGCCACAAGAACGCUGCUGUUUGCCAACCCCCAAGCCAAUUCUGCAAACUUUCCCUAAUUCAUUGAAGCCAAGCUUCCUAAGCUCACAUAAAUAACUUAGGUAAAUUUGUAUGUAGAUUAAAAAAAAGUCUAUUUAUGAUUUUAAGCAAGCUUGUAGAUAAUGGUAUUUAAAGUUUCAUAGUGUUGUCAAAUAUAAAGUAUAUACUGUAUACAUUUUUUCGUACUUUAUGUAGAUGAUAUCUUACUUGCGAGUAAUGACAUUAGAUUAAUGGGACAAAAGUGGAUGUUAUCAAAAAAAUUUAACAUGAAAGAUCUUGGUGAUGCGUUUUUUGUUCUUGGCAUUGAGGUCCAUAUGGAUUGUUAUUGGGUUUGUUUUAGAGGGCAUAUGUUGAUCGUAUUUUAGAAAGAUUCAAUAUGCAUCAUUGCAAUCCGGGGUGAUAAGUUGAGUCUUUCACGAUAUCCUCGUUUAGAUUUUGAGAAAGUUCAAAUGAAUGAUGUACCUUAUGCUAGUAUGCUUGGAAGUAUCAUGUAUACUCAAGUUUACAUUAGACCAGAUUUAUUUUUGCGACAUGACUUCUAGGUAGAUAUUAGUCAAAUCUAGAAUGUGAUCACUGGGUUGUUGUCAAGAAGAUUUUAAGGUAUUUAAAGAGGACAAUAGAUUAUAUGCUGAUUUAUAGACAUGUUCCGAACUUACAACUAAUAGGGUAUUUGGAUGUAGAUUUUGCUGGUUGUUAAGAUGAUAUGAAAUCGACGGUGAAAUAUAUAUUUAUAUUGGCAGGAGGUGCAGAAAUCUAUAUAUUCUUCUACCAUGCAAAUAGAGUUUGUAGCAUGCUUUUCAGCUGCUAUUUAGGCGAUUUGGCUCUAGAAUCUUAUUAGGGAGUUAACUGUUUUUUAUUUUGUGGGUAGAGCUAUAUAGUUAUAAUAAUAAUAGAAGUCUCCAAAAGUCUAAGCAUAUGGAGGUCAAGUUUAUGACCAUAAAUGAAUCAGUACAGAAUAGUGGUGUUACAGUAGAUCAUAUUCCUACAGAUGAUAUGAUUGUAGAUCCAUUAACUAAAGACCUAUGCCCUUAUGUGUUUGAGUGAUAUGUCGUUAGCAUGGGUUUAGGAGUAUUUUGGGAUGUUGUUAUUUAGUGAAAGUUGUUUUUAUUUUUCUUUUAAUAAAGUUUAUAUUUGUGUUUUUUAUAUUUAGUAGCGUUUUGAUAUAUAUUAACAUUUGCAUUCAAUAAAAUAUUUUUAAAUAAAUUGUUAUUAUGUUGAAUAUAUAUUGAUAAAAGUCUUAAAUGUAUUAUAUAAACCUUAAGUGAAUGUUAAGGGCAUCGGGUUAUUAACCUUGAGUAUAUGUUUUAUCACACAUAAAGAAAUAUUAACUGUAAAGGCAAGGCAUAUGUGGGUUUACUAGAACCAUAAAAAUAUUUUCUAAUGGCAUAGAUUUUUGUGAUACUUAAAAUGAGAGAAUGGUGAUUGACAAAUGGGAUCUCUCUAUGAGAGAUGUUAUUCAUUUAUCACACUACCAUAUUAAAUCCAUAUCAAUAAAGUUAAAAGCACUCAUAAGCACUCGUGACCAUGAAAGGUUUUGUGUGUAUACAUGCAGCUCCUACCAUGAUUUGGUGUUUGAGACUUUAUAUGAUGUAAUUGACUAUUAAGAAUUAUCUCUUAAAUUAAUGCGCGCACAUACAAUACAAUUUCAAUUAAUAUAACUCAAGUGGAAGAGUAUAAAAGUUUUUCUAAUGUGGGUUACAUUAAUUAAUAUUGUAAUUUACCAUUUUUUGGGAUUGGUCUAAAGUGAGAUAGAAAGAUUUUUAAUUAAUUUAUAUGGGGCUAGUUAGUGUGGGUUAAGUUGAACUUGACUCGUAAUAAGAUGGCCUAGUUGGAACACUAUAGAUAGUCGUCAAGUCUCUCCUCUAACUCUAAUUUUCAUAAUUAUCCUCACAAAUGAGCAUUUACCUAACGCAAAAGGGUGAGGGGGUUGUCUCAUUGAGCCAAUGAUAUAGAGGGCAAAGAGGAGAAUGACUUGUGCUUGAAUCAUCGCUUUUUUGCUUUCGCAUCAAGAACGAUGAAUUCCAAAACAAGUGUAUUAAUUUUUUUACUUGAUUAUAUGUGUUUUUGUUCUAGUUAUGGAGAUAAUGAGUUACGUGUUUUAGCAUCUAACAUCCCUCUCUGAAGUCUAGAUCUAAAUUUGGGUUGCCCGUCUAAUGCUCCAUCGAGGGUUGCUAGGGGCGGUUGAGGAUCUAGAAGAGCACAUCUAGGUCAUUGGGGUCUAGGUUGGCAUGGGUCUAGGUUGCUAGUCUAAUGCUCCACUGAAUGUUGCGCAAGGUUUGUUGAUGAUGGCUAAGGUUGUCUGAUGGUUUGGGUUUGCUUGUUUGGGUCGAUGAUUGUGUGUUUAGGUCGCCUAUUUGUAUGCUCUAACGAGGGUCAUCAAGGGAGGCCGAGGGUCUCCAAGGAUUUGGGUUGACGAUCGCGUAGUUUAGGUUGUCGAGGUCAUGCGACCCUCAGGGUCUCCUAGCUUAGGCUACCCGAGGUUGCUUCACCUCGGUGUCACCUUGCAUGACCACUUCGACGAUUCAAUUGUUGCUGACAUUCAAUUUGCUUCCCAAGUUUGCUCCCAAGAUGAGAUAUCUCUACUCUCCAGUAGUUAUAUAGUUUAUUUUUUUUCGUUCUUUUUUCUACCUUCGAAGUUACAUUGCAAAAAUAUCAUGAAAGUCAUUUAACCAAACAAUAUUUACUUUGAGUCAAAGAUUCAUGGGGCAAUGACUUUGCAUUCUCUCAAAACUCUCCCAAACACGCAUUUUGAGUUACAGUGAUUGGUUUCAAGUUGGGUAGAUUUUAGACCUCAAAUCUGAAAUCUAAUCUAUUAGAACCGAUUCCAAGUUUUUGGAACCUAAAACCUAUUUUGUAUGUCUUGGAACCUGUCAUUCUUUUGUUCUUUUUUUUUUAGGUUCACUUUUUAUAGCAAAAAAAUAUAAGUAAUAAAAUGGUUCAAAGUAAAAGAUGACUAAGGGUGAAGGAGCAAAGGUGAGUUAGGAACGAGCGAGUGUGAGCCGUGAGUGAGCGAGGAGGAGGGUGAGUCGCCAGCAAGCGAGAGAGAAUUGCGAAAUGUUUGAGUAAGGUUGAAGAGAACAGAGAAAAAAGAGAUAGAAAAAUAUGUUAAGAGAAAAAUUGGGGUUUCUAAACUUUAUGAAACUUGUACCAAAUUUGAUUCAAUGACAUAUGGUUCUUCUUAACUGACCAAAAAAAGAAAAAAAGAAAAAAAAAAGACAUAUGGUUCUUCAGUUGAAAUUGCAAACAAGAUUGGUUCGAACGACUGAUGAUCCGGUUCUCGAAUAGAACUGGCCCGACAACAGAGCUCUACUAACAAACCCUAGUUUCAUAAAAAUCCUAGUAUCGUAAUGUCAUUUGCCCAGUAUUUACCUAGUAUGAGAUGAUUAUAUUUUUUUAGCAAGAGGAAUUCCUUUAAUCGCAUCUUUUGAUUAGUGGCAAAUAAACUUGAUUUAUAUUCAUGAUUUAGGAUCCAUCGAAUUUAAUUGGACAAAAUCUUAUUUAAUCAAGAAUAGAGGAAAUUAAGGGCGGUCGCAAAAUAGAAAUAGAAUUCGUCAUCAUCGUAAUGUGACGGACCAAGUGUUUCCAGAUAGACCUCCGGGGUUCGCCAUUUCGCUCGAACGUUCGUCCACCGACACUCAGAAAGACCGCGAAGGUACGAGAAUGAUCCUCUCUUUCCUAUUUAACUCCCAACUUGUCUUCCAGGCUCCAUCGUCAAACGGUAGCAAUUCUCAUCGUCUAUCUCAAGCAUUCUAUCGAACACUUUCUCCGCUCAGUCUCGCAUUUUCACCAGUAAACCCAACAACCAUGUCGCUCAUCCCAAGCUGGUUCGGCGGCCGCCGCAGCAAUGUCUUCGACCCUUUCUCCCUCGACCUCUGGGACCCCUUCAAGGAUUUCCCUUUCCCUUCCUCCUCCCUCUCCGCCUCUAAUUUCCCUCAAACCAUCCGAGAAAAUACUGCUUUUGUGAACACGAGGAUCGACUGGAGGGAGACCCCGGAGGCCCACGUGUUUAAGGCGGAUCUCCCAGGGCUCAAGAAGGAGGAAGUCAAGGUGGAGAUCGAGGACGAUCGGGUGCUCCAGAUAAGCGGCGAGAGGAACGUGGAGAAGGAGGACAAGAACGACACCUGGCACCGGGUGGAGAGGAGCAGCGGGAAGUUCAUGAGGAGGUUCAGGGUGCCGGAGAACGCGAGGAUGGAUCAGGUGAAGGCCUCGAUGGAGAAUGGG
This 63709-nucleotide long non-coding RNA is filed under the name Eucalyptus grandis. Its description in RNAcentral is "long non-coding RNA (EGRA_LNC006028)". Lineage: Eukaryota; Viridiplantae; Streptophyta; Magnoliopsida; Myrtales; Myrtaceae. The record is from RNAcentral.